RNAcentral lists this long non-coding RNA (74229 nucleotides) under Prunus persica (peach). RNAcentral's name for it is "long non-coding RNA (PPER_LNC004091)". The record is from RNAcentral. Lineage: Eukaryota; Viridiplantae; Streptophyta; Magnoliopsida; Rosales; Rosaceae.
AGCAGCAAACUCUCCACCUCGCGGACGUCCACUUCCAGGUUUGGAAUUCUAUUAAUUUCACUAUUUUUCUUCCAAACCUAAAUAGGAACUGCCGGUUCUCUGUGGCCUUUUUUUCCCUUUGCCCCAAAUCAUUAUCUAUCAAAAACCAACCCUGCCCAUCUUCCUCCCCCCUCUUCAACGUAAAAUUUUUAUGUGUUUUCAUUACAACAAUGAGUUGUAGUUGAUGACACUAUAUGAACACUCUCUUCUACUAUUUAGUCUUUCGAUACAACAAGUUAGUUGUAAUUGAUGACCCUAUACAAACACUUUCUUCUCCUAUUUUGAGUUACCUUUUAAAACUUUUCAUCUUCUGCAUUGCAAAUUUGGUAGGGCGCACUCCUCGAAUUGAUGGAAAGGAGUUCUUUCGUCAAGCCAGGUUGGUGUAAUUAUUGCAAUUCCAAUACACUUUGAUUGAUUUGUUGCAAUAGUAAUGAGGCCCUUCAUGGACUGAUUUGAAUUUGCUGCAAUUUAGGAGUCGCCUGUCAUAUGAGCAGUUCAGUGCAUUUCUGGCUAACAUCAAGGAACUAAAUGCUCAUAAGCAAACCCGAGAGGUAAAACACUAGCGAAUUGUUUGAUUGAAUGAUUAUUUGAUGCAACUAAACAUGUACCAGACCCAUUGAUUACCAAAUUAGUGAAUGGUUUGUAUAUAUUGUUUUCCAGGAAACUCUAAGGAAAGCGGAAGAGAUAUUUGGGACUGAUAACAAAGAUCUUUAUUUAUCAUUCCAAGGAUUGCUUAACCGCAACAUACACUAGAAUUCAAAGCUUAGUUGCUGGGUACUUAUAAUAAUCGGUAUGUCCAACCUCUCUCUCUCUCUCUCUGCUUUCAUAUAUGUGUUGUCGCAUGCCAGCCAUCUUUGCCCAAAAUUUACAUUAUUGUUAUGAGUCAUGUGAGAAUGGCAUACCCCUCAUGCCUUGAAUUGACCUGAGAAACUGGAAAUUGAAGGUGCAAGGAUGGUCAGGAGGCCUUUUUAUAUGGGAUAAUAGCAAAAAACAAUUCUCUUUGAUUUUUAUAAUUUGUGAAAUCCAUAAUUGACUGCAUCGGAUGGGUGUUAUGCCUUUUGGAGUUUUCAUAAUUUUAAAAACAUUUCACCUAUGUUUAUCCUUCUGAAUUACCCCGAAUGUUGAGUUCAUCAUCCCUGUCAAUAGUACUGAACAAUCAAGUUCUUUUUGACAGGUUGUGCAAAAGUUGUUCGCAGAUCCUCUUUCUGUGUGUUAGGCUGUGGAUUGAGCUUGUUCUCAGCUGCUUUGGUCCUUUGGAUGGAAGGGCCAUGGCUCGUUCUCCGUGGCAUAUCAUUUUUUGAGAUGUAAUCAACAUCAAGUUGAGUUUCAGCAAACUAGAGUAGGGUUUUGUAGGUUUCACAAUGUCAUAGAAUGCAGGUAUGCUGUGUAAAUAAUUGCUUUAUUUUUCAGUCUACCUGCUUGAUUGUUUAAGAUGGAACUAAAUUGACCUUACCUUUCUGCUUUUGUCAAAUGAACCUUGGGACUUCUCCUCAAUGCAUCUCUCCCUCUUUCUCUCUCUUACACACACAUAAAUGUAUGCAUGUGGAUUAACGCUAACUUUGCGAACAUCCGGUAGCACUCAACAAUGUUGAGGAGCAUAUUUACAUGUUAUCACACAUGAUAAUAGUGAAACUCCCUAUUUAGUUUUAGACCACCUAUAGACGAGAUUAGAUUUUUUUUUUUUUUUUUUUUAUAAAAAAAAAUUGCAAUAUCUAUGUAGUUUCUGUGGGUUUUUUUUAAAUAUAUUAAUUAGUUCAUCUACUAUGAUAAACAAAAUAAAUAUUUCAUCUACCGUGCAAGUUGAGUCUCUGUUUUGUUCAAUAUAUAUGUAUAUAUAUUGAAUAGUUCGCAACUGUCGACUGGAAUGAUGAUCAGUGUAGAACAUAUGGUCCCUAAUCAAUGUGUACAGAAACCAGGAAAGAAUCUUCUAUGUUUUUCUGUCUCUUUGAACAGCUGUAGUGACCUUUGGAUUAUAUCUGAUUUCUCAAGAACAUAGCAUCUUACUUACACUCACAUAUUUUUUGUCUGCCGUGCAUAUUGUGUUAUUUGCAAUCAGAUUUGAAUGGUUCUCUCAAAUUCAUAUUUUACAAGCAUUGUGAUAAGUGAAUGUUAAUUUUUGUCUUGCUCGAGUUAAUCUUAUGAUCCGGGAUUUACGAGAUAUCUUUUUCCCAUCUGCAUUCAGAAGUAUUUUUGGAUUUGAAACAAAAUAUCAGAAAUUACAUGGGAGAUGAAAAUCAAGCCUACUUGCUCUACCUGUUGGCUUCAACAAUAUCUUGUCAUUGAAUUGAUUUCAAAUUUUCUUCCCGACCAAAAAACAAAGAAGAUUUCAAAUUUGACCAAAGUACAUGUGUAUUCCUAUUGAUUGACUGCAAACCAAGCCUCCUCUCUUUUCAUAUCUUCUGGUUUGAAACAUAUCUUUCAAAAGAAUAUGAAGAAGAAGAAAAUGUGGUGGCAUUUGUACGAAGGAGGCCAUGCUUAGCCUGGAAGAGGAUUGGCCUGUUUGGUAAAGUCUGGACAAAUCUGUGCAGGUGGAUCUGGACUUAGCAAAUAGAAACAAAAUGGAACCAAGAAUAAAUCUUGAAUGGUAAAUGAUGGGAAACACAAAAAAAUGCUGUGGUGAUCUUAUGCUCCAAAAAUCUGCCUAGAUUCAUUUUUCCAAGCAACAUGCACGUUGUACCAACAUGAACAUGUCAUGUUGGACGACCAGGGUCCAAUUGGCCAAUUAAAUCUCAUCUUUUUAGUUCUUGUUCUUUUUUUUUUUCUUUUUUUUUUUUUGGGUAACUCAAAUAUCUUCUGCAUGAUUGCUAAUCAUUGUUAAUAUCUUAAUAAUCCCAUCUUCUUUUGAUAGAAGUGGUACAUGAUUGCUAAUUAAUCUUCUUUCGAUUUUACUAAGAUGGAUCAUAAAGUUAAUCAUCUUUAGAUGCCUCGUUGGCCCAACUUAUAAGAUAGCUUUUUGAAAACUGAAGAUAAGAUAGCUUUUAAGUUAUAGCUUUCUCUUUAAUUUGUAAGAGUUGUGCUACACAAACAAUAAUAAAUAAAUAAAACAGUUGGAUCCAACAGGUCUUAGGUUCGUGGAGUAGCACAUAUCGAAUCCACGUAUAUUAUCAAAAGAAAAAAAAAACACAUACAAAUUUGGAUAUGUACCAUUACCAUAAUAAAAUAAGGGGUUGGCUUAAGAUCAUAUAUAUCUGUGAGAUUUUAGACAAUACUGUAUUGGAUUUCAUUCUCUCUUUGACAAGGUGAAAAGAACAGAAGUGAAGAACAGUUUUUCACAUGCAAGUGGGUUUUAGGGGAGAGGCUAUAGAUGGCUGGCUGGUUGAUGGGAUGGGCAGGUUUACCAGAGGACCUGAUGCUAUGUACUAGCCUACAAAAUCUUCAAAUCUAUCUCAAUUUUUACUUUUUGUGGCAAAUAGCCUCUGCUAGAGAUAAAUUUUGCACACAUGAAGUGUACCCAAAAAUGCUCCCUUACCUUAGUUUCAAGAUAAAACAGGCCCCCAACUUGCGAGUCCUUUUGAAGGAUCAAAAUAUUUGAAUUGAUACUGGAGUUGGUAUGAAAGAAAGUAAAGCCAGGAAUCUUUCAAAGAUAACAAAAGAUUGUGCAAAACCACCUUAAGAAAUCAUUUUGAACCAGAUACCCUCCUUUUUUUUUAAAAACAGAACUCUCAGAAGAAUAAAACAGAAGAGAUAACAAAAGUGCUUCAUUUCUGCUCGCAUGACAUUCUUCGUUGCUAAAUUUCACCACCAUCACCCCUUGCCAAAUGUUUCAAAGUCGUGUAAUACAUGCAUGGAUGCUGUAAAAUCACUAUAUAUAAUGCGUAAUUAAUACGACGCAAAUCAUUUUUUUGAGACUCAUCUCACAAUAUCAUUUCAUGAUCCGAACUGCUAUUUUUUUGGUAGUGUUUUUAUCGAUUACUUCAAGUUGGUUUUGGCUGAUUUAUUACUACAUCAUAAAAUUAUAUUGUGGGGUGAAUCUGAAAAGGUAGUUACGUUCCUAUUAAGUUAUUCAUGGCUUUGCUCAACCAAAAAAAGUUAUACAUGGCGUGUGUCAUUUGAAACUUUUUGGAAUUUCGAUUCCUUUCUGUAAAUCUUUUCUUUCUUUCUUAUUAGUUUAUAGGUUAGUUUCCAAGUUCCAACAACAUAGGAAGAAAUUAACUUAUCAUAAAUAAUUUGAAUAUGGUACUCGUGAGCUGGUAAGUUAGUCAAUUCAGAAGAAACUACAUGGUGUAUGGUUCAGAUUGGUUGGGUUCGAAGGAUUAAUUUUGAUAUAUUAUUUCUAUUUUGGCUUUUACAAUUAAAAAACCAAUCCAAUCCAAUAAAAAAUCAUAAGAAUCAAUCCAAUCAAAACUAAUUCACUUUGAGAUCCUGAGCUUCUGUAUUUAACGAUCAUGCAUUUUAUUACAUCUCGACUGUUUCAAUAAUCUAACGAUUUAAAAUAUGACAAGUGAACGGCUAAAUUAACAUUGUUACGUUUAUAUAAAAUUUUGGCUUUUACAAUUAAAAAACCAAUUCAAUCCAAUCAAAAAAUCAUAAGAAUCAAUCCAAUCAAAAGAAUCAAAAGAAUCAAUCCAAUUAAAACUCAUCUACUUUGAACACAGAGAAGACAAGAGAAGGUGGGUGACGAGCAUUUGUGGCUGAAAAUGAUGAGAUCGUAAAUAUCAUGCAAUGUCUAUUCUCUACCAAAAACUAAGACACUUCUGGAACACAUAAUUUGUAUUAGCAUUGGUAGGAUUGGCUGCACUUUUCAUUUUUAAAACCUUAAACCAAUAAUUCCUCCAAUCCAAUGUGGACCUUGGCGUUGUUGCACAGCCAAAAUGGGGCCAGCCAUCUUUAUAAAUUCCCCAGUACUUAGGAUAGGAGGUUGAUAUAUACAUAUAUAUAUAUAUGUAUAUAUAUUCCUUUCUCAUCGUUUACAUAAGGAGCAAUAAAUUUCUGCCAUUUUACAGGGGAUAAAUUCUAGAAAACCUAGUCGCGUACGUAUUCACAUGCAAAAUGCUAAAGAAUUGUUUACCCAAAACAAGAAAUAGAAAAACUAUAAGAACCUUCCCAUAAAUGUGAUGAGCAGAACAUGUUCCAUGCCCAUGCAUAUUAAAACUAAGCUGCUUCCUAACUACGGGGGGCAUUUGUCCUUGCGCACUACACAUAUCAACACAAACAUAUAUUCGUACUACCUAGCUAGAGAGGCAUUUGACAACGGAAUCUAACCUAGUGUAAAAUGCUCUUGACUUGCAGAUCAAUUAUCUCAAGUUCGAACUCCUAUAACACCUUGAUUGUAUAUGUGUGUGAGAGAAAACCCCCUCCCCCUUUCUAACUUUAGAAAAAAGAAAAAGAAAACUAGAGCCGGUAUAUUUGACAUUUAACCGACUCUGUAUUUGAUUAGACCAAUGUUUUUUACCGAAGUUUGAGGCAUAUAUGUUGUACUUGAUUUGUUGAAGCAAAAUCAUAUAAUACAAGCCCAUGUGUUAGAUUCUUGGCCUAUAUAGUAGGCUAGUACUUUUGGGUGUACAGGCUGCUUUAAACAGUAUAAGAAUGGUAUUCACAUGAGGCCCUCUAUUUUUCUCCUUUUCAGGUGUCUUCUUUCAACAUCCUUUUUUGACCCUUAUAAAACUAAUUUUUUUAAUUAUAUAUUAAUUAUUUUUGGUAAUCUUCUUAGUUUGUGUAAUUAAUUUUGUACAUGGCAUGCAUGCUAGUUUUUGUAAGAUUGUAUUUGAAAACUCUCUUAAACCGAGUUUCUAGAAAGAACAUAUACAAGCUCAACUAUUUAUUAACACACACUAGCUAGAAACUAGUCUUAACAAAAAUGCAUAUACAAACUUAAAUAGUUUAACAACAAAUAUUUACGCGUUGACAGCCUCACAAAGCACUACGCUGGAGUGUGACAGUUAGUUUAGCUAUUUUUGUCUAAGAAACACCACCCCAGUCAGUUGCCCGAAACAGUACGGGUAGAACAACUUGCCUAAAAGGCUAAAAGCCAGUGCACUAUCCCCAUUGCUAUAUAUACUCAAAGCCUCACUAACACAAAGUGCCACAUAACAUAACUGACCCACAACCAGUUCCUUAGCCCCCACCAGCUAGCUUUAGCUCUCUCUUGUCCAUGGAUUCCCUUCCUCAUCAAUUCUACAAUGACUAUUCACUCCCUUGUGGUUUUUACGGCUACCCAACUCCGGAAAUGGCCGGAGAAAAUGGUUGUGGUUCGGUUUUCGGUGGAGCAAUGUGGGGUGCUACUUGUGAAGAAAACUUGGUGCCAUUUUGUAAUGUUAGUAGUGCUGCAGUAAAUUUUGAUGUGAUGUCACCGGAAUCCGACAUCUCUUCGUCUGUUAUGGCGGCUUCGUUCCCGGAGCUACUUAAGAUUUCGGAGGAUCUUUCUGUGCCUGCUGCAGCUGCAUUUUCAGAUUAUGGGAAUAUGGGGUUGCAUGGACUUGCAGGGAUUAAUCAGAAUUUUGGUGGAGAAAUUAGCCAACCAUAUAUGUGUGAUCAGUUUGGGGAGGAAUGUUGUACUGGUCUCAACAUGUCAGAUAUUAAGCCGUUUGGCCUUGCUGGCCAAGAAAAUUGGGUAUGCUAUUUUUAGCUAGCUCAUCAUAUUGAGCUUUGCUUGCCAUUUCGUUUGAUCAUUUAGUGUAGGAUAUGCAAAGGUGUUGUGCAUAUGGUUAAUUAAUUUUCAUCAAGAUAUAUUGAUUGUUAAGUACAAUUUUGUGUGCAGGGAAUUCAAGGGAACCAGCAGGUGCCUACAAUUGAUCAAGAUCAGUCUAAUAUGAAGGUGGGAAGGUAUUCAGAAGAAGAAAGGAAAGAAAGGAUUGGCAGAUAUUUGAAGAAAAGAAACCAAAGGAACUUCAACAAAACCAUUAAGGUUUCUUUCUCAUCCGCGAUGUACUUGAACAAUUACAACCCUUUUGCUAUAGGUUAUCGUUUAUCAAUCUAAAUCUAUAAAAUACAGAUCGGUAACGUUCUCUUGUCACACUGUAUAUCUGAACUACACAUUUAAACGAAAAAACAAUAUAAUCAAUGAUUCAGGUUCAUAUUACCUUACAAUAUAACUAUCUUAUACUCUAUAGCAUCUACGAUGUUUUAGAGAUAUUCAUUAAUUGUGUUCAUUGGCUAUGUAUGUACAGUAUGCUUGUCGCAAAACCCUAGCUGAUAGAAGGGUCCGAGUUCGUGGGAGAUUUGCAAGGAACACUGAACUAAGUGAUCAAGAAAUAGCAGCAAAAAAGAUUGACAGCAAUCAUACUUGCGAAGAUCAGAGAUCAGAAAUGUGUUGUAGUAAUGAUGCCGUCCAGGUUUGUGCAUGCAGAUUAAUCCAGGCAUAAAUUAAAAUAUAAUCAUGUAAUUAUGAUAUCAUUUUGAUAUUAAUGAAUCAUGUACAUGGUUUAAUUUACAGAUGAUGAAAUAUGACGAGGACGACUACUGGCUGCAAGAGGCUAUGGGUCUAAUGUACUUACCUUAUGCCACCAGCUGAUCAUAUGGUGCAGUUUAAUUAGCUGCUUAAUUAACUAUAUAUUAUAUAGUCUAAUUGAGAUGUAAUGAGAGACGUACGUACGGCACGCUUGUAUUGUAAAAGUAUGAUCUAACAAGCUAGCUAAUUAGUCUUUUGUACUUGUAAAAUUAAUUGGUCCAUUGGUUUUAAGUUUAACUAGAUCAUGUUCUUCUAGAUACUCUUCUGUGCUACAAAUUAAGAUGAUUUUCAUCAUUAAUUUACCGCUUACAUAGAUAGUGGUGGCUUGGAGAAGCUUGGAAAUGCUGCGAUGAGAGAACCAUGCGUAUCUACGUAGCUAGGGUGUUUGUAAUUAGGAGGGUUUGUGAUUUGAUCAAAGAAUAAUUAAGGUUUCUUUUUAUCCUUCACCAUUUAUCUAAAAUGAUUCUUCGGUAUGAAUGCCCGACACACUCCAACAGGCUUCUAAUGAAAUGACAUAUGACAUCAACUUUCGUGUGGUGGUGUGGAUCUCACCGUCUUAAUCAAUUGAAAUGAGAAUCCAAUGGGAUGAUGACUUGCAGUUUGAUUAAUCUUAUUUUUUUAUUUUAUAACAAUGGAUAAAAAUCCAAAUUCCAGACCAUAAAAAACUCAAGAAAUGACUAGAUAAGGUUUGGCUCGAAGUAAUCAAACUCGCGUAAGGGGCAUACACACGGUCCUAAUCAACAGACCUAAUUUGUAUCUGCAUCAACAAUUUUCACUUGAGAAAAUACUGGUUGAAAUUUUGGGGGAGGUAAUAGACAUUGAUACGCAGGCACUACCGCUCCCAUAGUGAUGGUACUGCCAGCCAACAAAAUAUAUGUUGUUGGCAAUCUUACCUUGCUAUACACACAUUUGAAAACAAGUUACUUGAUUAAUGGAUCAAAGUUAAAGUCUAGUGAAAAAAACAGUUUUUGUUGCCACAAGUGUCUGACAAAACAACACUUCUCUCUGUGUACAUGUUAAGAGAUACGUUGCAAAGUCAUUCGUAUGUGAAAUUUUUUAAUAAUUAAGAAAUUUCGUAUAAUAAGAGUUGUGUGCAGACGACCAUGUUAAGAGAUAUGUUACAGACAAUCAUUCGUACGUGAAAUUUUCUAAUAAUUAAGAAAUUUCGUAUAAUAAGAGUUGUGUUACAGACAGUUCUCCGCACGUGAGAAAUUUCAUCGGGAUGCAUGCAUGCCACAUAUAUUAUCCUUUGGUAUAAUAUUGGCGAAGAAAGUUAGAAUACUAGCUAGGACUAGCUAGUACAUUUGCAAGGCCUAUAUUUAUUGCGGCCUCAACCACUUUGUUAUAACUAUCAACUUCACCUAGUUAGAGCUUUUAGUAGUGGUGUUAUUAUCAUGAUAAUAAUAUUCCCCACCAAAUCUCAAAAUGAAUUAUGAUCAUCACGUUCACUAUAUAGGGCUUCUAGUCAUUCACCUUUGGAUGUGUUAGUCAUAUAUAUAAUAUAUUCUCAUCGAUCUGGAAGCUAACAAGAAGAAAAUACAAAAUCAUGAUGGCCUGGCAUUUAGGUCAACUUGCCCAGCACCGCCGUAAAAGAUGAUUAAGUUGCAUUCUGAUGCAUGGAAAGUGAGGUCACAUAUUUGACGACAUAGUUUUUCAAUUAUUAUUAUUAACAUUGAUUUUAAUCAUGAAUGCCCCGAAAAUAAUUGUCCACAUUAUUGUGGUUCCAAGUUUUUAUCUCAUCCUUUUUUUCCAAAAUAUUUUGGUUCUUUCAUUUCAUCCUCGUGGCAAAUAAUUUUUUUUUUUUUUAAUACAAACGAUAGUCUAAACUGUAAGUACAUGUGGCAAUUUCUGAUACGACCUUAUACACUACUCGAAACCUACAUUGAAAAUUAGUGGGUCAACCCACAAGAUUAAAAUUACAGAUCAAAUUCGGAUCAACUUGCCACGACACGUCUAAUUAACAGUGGUUUAUGAUCAACCCCGUCAACCCGUGAAAUGACCUACUAGAAAUGUUUACUAUUUAAUUUUUAAUUUUCAUUAUUAAUAAUAGAUCUGUGGCUGCAUAUAUUGACAUUAUGUUCUAUUCCAUCAUGCACCUUAGGUUGUGAAUUUCAACCCACCCAAAUAAAAAUCCUUAGCCAAAGUCGAUCUCCUCAUCAUUCUAAUUCUCAUCUCGAUUUUGAAUUAUGUAUUCUCUUAAACAUGUGAAAUGUAUAAUAAUUUGUAAAACAAGUUGUGAAAUGAAUUUCAACCCACCCAAAUAAAAACCCUUUGCCAAAGUCGAUCUCCUCAUCAUUCUCAUCUCGAUUUUAAAUUAUGUAUCCUCUUAAACAUGUGAAAUGUGUAAUAAUUUGUUAAACAAGUUGUGAAAUGAAUUUCAACCCACCCAAAUAAAAACCCUUAGCCAAAGUCGAUCUUCUCAUCAUUCUAAUUCUCAUCUCAAUUUUGAAUUAUGUAUUCUCUUAAACAUGUGAAAUGUAUAAUAAUUUGUUAAACAAAUUGUGAAAUGGAUUUCAACCCACCUAAAUAAUUUGUUAACCUGCUAAACUUCUUUAAUUUUUCUGCCUUGCUCAGCCCUUAGACACCUUCUAAGAUCAUCCCACACACACCUCUUCAUACUUCAGGCUCUCUUUUACGCAGAGGAACAAGUGACAACUCUCACACGCUCAAAAAAACUUGCGCUAUCAAGUAAACAAACACAAAGUUUACUGUAACUCACCCCAAAAACCUUCUAUUAAUUCUCAUAAAACGUGCAGAGGACAACCCCAACUGCUAUGCUUUGCUGCACCACUCAGCAGCCAACACAUAAGCAUGCGGUUGACACCCCCAACCGUUAGGAUUUGCUGGCAGCACCAUAUUUUGCCAUCUCAUGCAUGCAACUUGCUCAAGUAACUACUCAUGGCCUUGCUGACGCCUCCCUACGUCUCAAAACUCGCCCAUGAAGUCUGGGGCCAUGCUGCACCUAUCAGUAACCCGCCACAACUGCUUGCACACGUGUCCCAUCUUGGAUAUAUAUUCUUAAAAAACAUAAGAAAAAAAGAAGGGAGGGGUAGGGCAGGGAUUAGUUACAGAGUUUUGAUUGUAUCUCUAAGCUUCUUCCCCUUUCUCAUAUCAAUAACUAAAAUGAAAAAAAGGAAGAAUAUCAACGCAUCCCCCAAAAAAAAAAAAAAAGAUUUAAAUUCUGUUCGAACCAGACAAAAAAAGUGAUUUAUUGGGUUAUCAAAUUAUACAUAUAUAGUAUGAUACAGUCAAAACAAGGUAUUAUAGUAAAAAAAGAAUGGAUACCUCGGAAACAAGUAAAGACUCAUCAACAGACUCUCUAUAAUUUUUAUUUUGAAUCUUGAAAACAAAGAUUUUGUACUUUUUGGACUCUUCUCGUUCUCUAUCUCUCCCCCUUACUCCAAAGUGGGCUGGAAAACAUUUUUCCAGCAAAAGAGAUCAGAAAAAUAACUAAAUUGAAAAGGUACCCUUCAUAGAUAUGGGUUGACUUGAAGUGAUGAAUGCUUUGGCCCCGGUAUCUAAAGGCAGGGAAGUCAAACAAGGGAAGGAAAGAGGAGGGCCAACUCCUUUGGAACUCUUUUUUCUUUUUCUUUGUUUUGUUUAGUUUUGUUAUUUAUUCAAUUUUUUUUAUAGAAACGAUAUUCUAAUUAGUUUAAUCUAAAUUACAGGGAGAGAAUUUCGAACUCAGAUAUAGAGUGGGAAGCACAUCUGUUCUAGUCAACAUGGCUAAACUCAUAUAUGUGUUUUCUAUUCAAUAUUAAUUAGGUAGAGUUUCCUAAUGAAUUUAAAGUCUAUGACAAGGCAACAGGAAAUAAAUUGAGUCUUUUCAGCUACUUUGUUCACACUUCACAUCUUUCUCUAAAAAAGGAAUUGGGGAUAAGUAAAAAGAUAGAAAUUUAAAAAAAAAAAAAAAAAGGGGAAAAUGGAGUGUCACAAGCAAGCAUUCUCACAAUCGUAAGAAAGCACUACUAUACUAGCCCCAAAGUCUCUGAAACAUUAUCAUGUUCAUAAGGUGACCCCAUUGCAAUAUGACUUUCACUGGGGCUUAAACCUAGUGACAAUUAAUAUAUUCACAUUAACAGUACUUUUUUGAGCAAACAAUUGGAUGCAAACAUGACUAUUUGGGUGGAAACAUGACCCUCCUUUUGGAGGAGUAGUGGUUCCCUUUAGGUGCAUUUUUAAUUUGUCAUCACAAAAUAUAUAUAACGUAAGUCUUGAGACUCUUCGAUUUUCAUCCAUUACUAAUUGAUUUUGAAUUGGACGUGGUAUCACAAUUUGCGUGUUUGGUUAGGCCACAAGUAUUUUAACACUCUAAUCGGAGCUGUAUUGUGCAUAGACAACAAUUACAUAUGUGAUAUAUGGAACUAUUGGAGUGUUUAUUUUCCUCAGAUGUGCCUAGCUCUGAAAAUGACAAGAGCAAAGAAAUCCAAAUCAAGCACUAUAAAUGAAAAUGGAUCAAAAUCAUUGCCUGCCCUUUGAAGGGGAGGAAAGGGUAAACAGUAGUGUUAGUGGGUUCAAGCCAAUAGAAUCAAUGGAAUCGAUAAAGCUAAACUACUAUUUCAGUGGGGUUCCCUGGAUCAAGUCCAGACUGAGUUCAAUCUCAUUAUCAUCGAGUAAGAUAUGUCGGUGAUCAUGGACAACCCAGCCAGCCACCAUGGAUGACCCACAAGACUGGCAAGAGGCCACAAUUGCAACAACUGCAAGCUCAGGCCCCAUGGGAUUGCUAGGGAACAAUGUAUUGGUUGACCAAAUUUGUGUGUGUGUGUGCGCUAGCUAAAACUACAGAAUCUGAGUUUGAAGACCACAAGUUCAUGCAUAAUUUGUGGAGGCAAAUGAUAGAAAUUACUGCAGGUGAUGAGGCUUUUCUGUUACUUCUUCUGGUGAGGCUACAUGAGGAGAAACACUUGUGUGAAACAGAGAUAGUACUAUUUUGCUAUUUCCAAUCAAUCAUGAAAUGAUAGAAAUAUAUACUUCAUGUGAUGCUUUUUCAUUGCUUCUUUCGGUGAGGCUGUGAUGCUACAUGAGAGCCUUGAAUUUUGUGUUUCAAGUUUCAACUGUGUUUAGUCAAGUAUGGAUUCCAAGUAUAUGAUUUUGAUGUCCCAAUUAUAGCAAAUGUAACAACAAAGUCCAGCACUAGAAGGUGGAAAAGAAAAUUGCACUAGGAUAUAUAUAUAUAUAUAUAUAUAUAUAUAUAAAAUAUAAGUAAUUAGCCAAUAAAUAUGCUCAUACUUAUUUAUUUUCAAGUGAUCAGCGCUAGUCUAUGAAAGAUGUCUAAUCUUGAUGAGUGCAUAUUUUCCAUGUUUGUCAUUAUUUUGUCCCCUCAAACCCCAACUUGCCUAAUUAUUACUGAGUGCACAGCCUCUUGGACUCUUAGAGGGUGUUGGUCUAGGAGGGAUUAAUGGGGUUUGAUGAAUAUGUGAAAUGUAAGGCUGUACAGUUCCUUGGAAAUUAAGUCAAUUUGAUAUAUUCUUCAAGUUUGUUUGGUUGGAGAAAUACCCUAAAAUUUUACGAGCAAUAUUAGGGAAGGGAGAUUCAAAUACACGAUUUUGGGUGCAGAAUUAACUACUCUUAACUACUUAAGCUACAAAUCCCGUGCUAAAUUUUACGUUCUUAAAAUAUGUAUGAUCGUGCCCUAAUGCAUAUAUAAUGGUUGGUUCCCCUUAUGGAUUGAAAAUAACAAUGAAUUGGGCAAAAUUGUGUGUGCGCUCUGUUUUAGACUGAUCAAGUCACUUGAUUCAAGUGAGUGAAGGCUUUGUUUCUAAAGCCUCAUGAUUAAUAUGGAGACUGUGUAUACGAGGAGGAUCUUAAUUAAUAACCACAUAUUAGAUUGUGCAUAUAACAAGGCUGUCAAAGGUGUACAUUUUUUUCAAUUUGCCAUCAAUAACAGCAAAAACUUCACCAAAAAGUGGCAGUUCAUUCCAAAAAAGUAAAUUACAAGAAUUUGUUAAACUAGCAGCUAACUGGACUUGGACAUGGGCUGAGUAGAGUUGGGCCACAUGUAAUCUUAAGGUCGCCUGAUGAUGAUUUGAGGCUUAAACCCACCUAGAUACAUCGGGCCUGAUAUUCUUGCUCAAAUUGUGACUUUGAUGUCAAUAUUGAAAAUUGAAAAUUGAAAUUCAUGCACAUCUUGUGAUGUAUAAUCCGUGUGUGUAUACAUAUCGAUGUAUACAUACAGUGGCGGAUUCAGAAACUUUUCUUUGCAGGGGCAAGGUAAAGGCUACAUGCCACUUUGCGCAGUUGCCCUUAGCCAACCUCUUCGAGGUAUUUUGUUGAACAUCUUGCCUCAUGAUAGCCAUAUAUAAUCAACGAGAACAUCGGGUAAUUUCAUUUACAGAGAGACAAUGGGGAGUAGGGGCAAUCGCGUUCUCCGGCCCUAAUGUGGAUCUACUAUAGUGUUAGUGUGGAGAUUUUGUGCUCCCACGACUUCCUUUUUCUGUCUCUUCAUGUGGAGAUGUAGUUGUGAUGUUCUUUUCACACUAUGUAUUAAAAUUUAUAAUUUUAGGGAGUGGGGCAGAUGAAGUGGGUCGUUUAACUAACAUAUUUGGUUUCGACAAUGAAAUAAAGAGAGCUCUAGUCAUCUCAUCUCAAAUUUAUCAGGGGUGGGGAUGCUCCUAUAAGAUUCCCGCAAUAGAAACCAACUACAUAUAUACACACACAAACUCACAUCAGAAAAGACAAUAAUGUUUUGCAUGCUUACUAAUAUUAAACAGGAUGAUUAAUUAGUUUAUAAACUGUCGGGUAAUAUAAUUAAUUAAUUAAUUUCUAGAUGCUGCAGCAGGUACAGAGCAUGGCAUAUAUAUAUAUAUCUGUAGUGAAUUUACUAUAAUAACCAGCAAACUUUUUUUUGUCAAUAAAUAAUAAUAAGAAAAACCAUCAUCUACAGCUUCAUUUCUAUUCUUUCCAUACGGCCAAAGCAUAAGGUGGUGGUGGUGAUUGAUGAUAUAUGUGUAGGAAUUGAGUAUGACAUGACUAGAAUAAAUCUCUCUCUCUCCCUUUUUUUUUUCCUUUUUCUUUUGAAAGAAAUGUUUUGAGGAGGUUUCUGCAGAGAAUAAUUAAAAAAUUUGAGACAAAAGACACGAACUGUAAAAGAAGCUAUUCCAAUAACAAUAUAGCAGAUAUUGAUAAAACUUUCCCAGUGACUUGAGCUAGACGAGAAGCUGAAAUAAUUUAGAGAGAAUAAUCAAAUUAAUACAAAGUAGUGUUGAAUAAAAAAGGGAAAUCAAGCAAGCAGCUCAUAGUAACAAUAUUAUAAUUAAUGUCAUAUAUACUUGCAAAAAGUAAUUAGUACGCAUUUACAAUAUGGUUAAUUCAUUAAUCAUCUCAUCAUCCCUGGUCAAGUAGAGAGACAGGGAGAUGCACUAUGAAAGUAAAAGGAAAAUUUAAAAAAGGUAAUAAUUAAAGAGGCAGACACUAAAGCAAGCCCAUGUACUAAUUACGUAUUAGAAAACAACAGAUAUAUAAUAAUUAAAGUGGUAGCUAGCAUGCAAAUUAAGGUAGGUAGCUAACAUGACCACAAAGACUCUCCCAUAUUGGCCUGAUCAACCACCAUGUCCAUGGUAAAAAAGGAUUUGGUGGUCUGAUGAUUAUGAUGAUGAGAAUGAUUAGGAGCCGUUGAUUUUUGAUCAGGUGAACAAGUGGUGGUGGUGGCAGCAUUGGAUGUUGUUGAUGAAGUUGAGAAUUGGCCCAUUCUCAUGUGCACCACCUCAGCUUGAGCAAUGGCCAAUUGGGUUUGGAGGGCAUCGAUUUGUUGUUGUAAAGAUGAGAUUGCUCCUACACAGCCAUACACCGGAUCCCUCACUCUGGCAUUUGCUUCGUACACCAUGGAGCUCACUGCAUCACUGCGCUGGUGCUCUGGUAAUUCCUAGUUAAUUAUAUCCAUUAAUUAUUAUGUCAAUGAAACUUAAUCUUGAUAAAGCACUUGAGAAAAUUAAGAAAAAAGAAGAAGAAGAAUUUGCUUUAAUUUUCUUGGGAAAAACAAAGUUGGCAAAAAGAAAAAUCAAAAGUUAUCUUAAUUAUGAGCAUCAAGAUGUAGAAGAAUUUCAACAAAAGACACCAACCAAAGUGGUGGAGCUAUUUUCCCACUCCAAAUGCAUCAUAAUCAACAAUUCUGUUUCAUAUAGAUAAAAUAAUAAUAAUAAUAAUUCUACUUCUCGAAACGUACGUAUAUAAUUUAUUCUCUUUUUAUUAUUGAUAUUUUCUCAAACUUAACCAUUUAACUUCAAUAAAAAUUUCGACCAGUACUCCGAGAUAGCCUCGUUAUGCAAUUAGUAGGGCCACCCAUCUUAUAUCUUACUUAGCUUGGUGCCUUUUAUAUGAUGUGUGAAUAUGAUGUUUGAUAUAGGUUCAUGCAUGGAAUAAGCUUUCCAAUCUUCCACAUUUUGAUUCCUCUCCUCAUCGAGGCUUUUGGUUUGGCAAUUGUCAACAUUAAUUGAUUGACAUCAACGUUGCCAACUUCAAAUUAAUAACGAGAGAUUAGAAAGGAAAAGAGAAAGAAAUUAAGCACGAGUAUUUAAAUAUAAAAAUAAAUAAUAAAUCUCUUUUACUGAAAACAAAAACAUGCAUCUAAUCUAACUAAUUGAAAGAAUUGGAAUUUACAAGAUGGCCAUCAUAUUAUUAUAUAUAUAUAUAUAUGUGUGUGUGUGUCAUUUUGAUGUCAUGAUGUUGUCAUAUUUAUUUUGCUAAAUUUAUUGAAAUAUUACAAAUAUUCAAGAACUUUUUAUUUGCUUACUUGGGAUCAACAUUUUUUUGGACUUAUAUAUAAACCCGCUUUGUCUUUAUAUCAACAUUGUAACCCAUAAUCAUAAAAGCAAAAGGCAAAGAGAAUGCAUAAGCAGACAUCCGACUUUCUUUUUCUAAGUGUUCAUAAAGGUUUCGAAUUUGAGGACCAAAACCUUAAUCAGCCUCAUUUCCAGAAGAAAAAAAGCAACUUAAUGAUCAUAAAAGUUGAAGAUAAACACGAGAUCAUAACUAAAUUCGUCGGAAAUCAUUCAAUUCCCUUAGCCUUUAUACUCGUGUAUACGUAACUUGAUCGAGAAGUAAUUAACAUUCCGAUUACAAUUAACCCCUGAUUUUCUUUCAUUUAAGUACAAAUGAAUCAGUAAUUUGAUAUACAUAAACCACUUUUUUAAAAGAAGGAUGAGCAAUAUUCUUAUCAACGACCGGUGGUCUUCAACUGUAUUUAACUACUAUAACUGAAGUAAAGGUGCGGGAAGAAAUGGAAGAACACUUUUCAGCUUUUUUGAAUAUUUUCUUCCUAAAAUAGUAACAAAGUAUCAAAUUCUUUCAAAAAGAUUCACAAAGGCAUAGCAAGAAUAGCAAAAGAACCCUAAAAAGUUUAUUCUGCCUAAUGAGGAACAAAAAAAAAAAAAAACAUACAUGUGUAGUUCUAUCCACAAUUUUUUGAACUCAAUAUUCAUUUGCAUGCAUAAAACUUUAGAAUUAGUGGGAAAAUGUAUAGAUGGCAUAUACAAUAAUGAUCCUUCUAGCAUGCAUGGCCUUCAUUUUGAGUGAAAGAAAAGAAAGAUGCAUGCUUUUUCCUCUUGCUAAUUACCUAUAAUGGGUUUCAUCAUUAUAAGAUCUCAACAAAAGAAAGCCAAAUAGAAUAUCAAAGUGCCUUGCAUCUUUUGGAGAUGGUAGCUAGAAGCAACCACCUCAUUAUACAAACUUAGUUAAUGUAUAGCUAACAACUCAAAGAUUUUUUUUCCUCCCAAAACCAAUAAACUAAUAACCUUUCUCUAUCUUAAGCUUUUUGGGUCUAUUUGCUAAAGUUUAAUCCUCAUAGUCACCCCACAUGCUACAACAGUUGUGAUGACAAGAACAGGAAAUUAAUCAAAAGGAAAUGUUGCAAUAUCCCUCUCAAGUCACUUAUUUUAUUUGAAGUUGACGGUCAACAAAAGAAGAAAUUAUAAAAUACUAUGAUAGUAUGGUUACGUGGUAUAUUUUGUACGCGUGUUAUAAUAUGAGUGGACGACAAUGUUUAUUUUCUCCUCUUUUAGGGAAUAGUAUCAAUAAAUAAAUCCACUUAUAUUAUAACAUGUGUACAAAAUGUACCACGUAAUUAUACUAACGUAGUAUUCUAUAAUCACUCCAAAAAAAGAAACAAGGAGUAGUCCUCAAAGCAUUCUCAAAUAAUGUUCAUAAAAGGAUAGAUUGGGGUAAGUAUAUGCUUGGUUAUUUGAGUAGUUGAAUAUUUGAGAAGUUUUUAACUACUCAAAGCCACAAUUCCGAUAUUUAUAUUUUGAAAAGGACUUAUAUAUAAAACAAUAUAAAUAUUAUUUCACAUGAUAAUUUAAUAUAUUAUAUUGCCAUAUUUUUAAUUAGACGGUGUAUUGAGCAUACUUUUAGGUAGACUGUCAUACUUUGAAUGCACGCUGUUUAUUUUGAAAAUUUGACAACAUAACAUGUGAUGUAUGUAUGUAGUAAUAACAGAACCCUAAAGAAUAAUGUUAGAGAGAGAGAGAGAGGUGCAUAGUGACAGAAAUGAACCUGUAGCAUCUUGUUGACAUUGCUGGCACCAAAAACCUUGUGCACACUGGCAAACUUCUGGGGCUCGUCAGCUGGAAAAUAAGGAGCAAACACGCAAUCCUGCGCACAUCUCCUUCUCAGAAGCUUGCAUGCUGCGCAUGGAGACAUAGCACCUUGUUUUCUACCACUCUCCUUCAUUUUCCCAGCUCUGUUUUUUGUUCUUUCAAAAGCUAAGAGCUUAAUUACAAUUUCAGGGAGCUAUUUACCGAAAAAUUGAAAGAAAAUAAGGUAUAUAAUUGGCCAAAUUUAAUUUGCAGGGUGUUGAGAGAGAGAGAGAGAGAGAGGGAGGUAAGGGGGCUUGAGGUGAAGGCGUGGUGGGGGUUAUAUAGACAAGUGCUAAGUGACAGAAAAUCUUUGGGGGGUCCCAUAAAAGACGAACCCCUAGAUUUUGUUGGACAAAACAUCGUUUUUGAUAAGAUCUUUAGCCCCACAACAAUAAUAUAUUUUGUCUCCCCCCCUCUUUUUUUUUCUUCUUCUUUUUCCCGCCUCGUAUAUAAAAGCUUUUAUAUAGAGAAUAUAAAUUCUUCACAUAUUAAUGUGGGAAACUCAUACUGGAUUCCAACAGAUUCAAUUUAUAUUUCAAAUUAAUAAAAGUAAUUAUAUUUUAAAACCAACUAAAUGAAACUUGAGUGAGGGUGAGGCUCGCUUUUAUAGGGGUACUCCAUAUUGUAUUUCAAUUAUCCGAACUAUCUAGUUUUUAAAUAUUUUUUUAAAAAUCAUCUAUGUAAAAAAUCAUUUGACUCCGAAAGAAUUUGACCACUCAAUUAGAUGGUUGUUAUUAAAGUCUUUUCUUGAAGCACCGUAUUCGUCUACUUUGUUAGUCCAAAUCAGAUGCGUUAAUAAUUUUCAAUUUGCAUGAUAUUUUUGAAUAAUGAUCUAUGAAUGAAUAUUUGAAAAAUAAACAAUUUGGAUUGUUGAAAAAAUUCUGAAAAAUAAUAGAUAGCUUCCAAAUAUUUAAAAUCAAUUUGAGUAAAAUAAUGCAUUGCUUAGUUCAUAUGAUCUUAAUCAAGUACAAAGGUACAUAUGAUAUACGGAGAGUUUUAAGUGAGGAAUUCCAAACCGAUCGAUUAACUAAUACUCUACUUUUAUGAUAUGAUGUAUAUGCGGUAUAUGCAUGUCAUGUCAACCUCCGAGUUCAAGGAAAUAUGAAACGAAAAAUUUGUUGCUACGUACUUGUCCAUGCCAGUUUUCAAUAAAAAAUUCUGGUCAUUUUUGUUACCUUGUAUAUGGAGGAAGUUACUUAGAGAGAGAGCCAUUGUUUUCAUACUAGCUUAUGCUUUGCUACACCAAUUUUAUCUUAUUGAUUUUUUUUUACUAUUUAACAACAAAGGACAUGCCACAAACCAACAACAAGAAGAAAAUUAUUACAAAAAGAAAUGAACAUCAUUUUAGAUGACGUUAGAUAACCAUGUUACUUAUUGCAUGAUUAAUUAUUAUGAUCAAAAUGGGAUUAUCAACUAACUCUUGUAGUGGUAUUCACUUUCUAAUGAUGUUGAAAAAUGUAGCAAGUUUGAGUCAUCGAGUUGGGGCAGUGUACCGGCACAGUCGAGUUCAAAUUCGCUCCUCGUAAAUUAAAGUAAUUUAGAAUAUUACUUUUGUGAAAUUUAAAAUUUUAAAAAUAAAAAUCUCUCAUCCCCUAUUGAUUGAAAAGAAAAACAUCGAGAACUGGAGUUUGAAAUAUUGUUUGUAUUUUGUUUUUUGAAUUGCAUAAUCACAUGUAAGUAGAUCGAUAUUGUGAGGGUCUUGACCACUUUAAACUUAAACUUACAUGUGGAUCACCUUAAGAGCAGUUCCACACAUUUGCCUUUCCAUGGUAAAAGGGGGCUUCGGCUGAAGGGAAAAAAAAAAAAAAAAACCCCCGCACCAAGCAGAUAUAGCUCGAGCAAGAGUGGGCUCCAUCAAAACCUGGCGAGCCCAAAGGUAAGACCAGCCUGUGCUGUUGCCUGAAGGCGCUGAUGCCAGCACUGACGUUAUACCAAAAUUUGUGUAAUAAGUGGGGAAAUCAAAAAAUAAAUUGCUAAAGCAAGCACUAUUCACAUGAACAGUACUGCCAUUGUUUGCCCUUACUCUUCGUCAUGGUAAAUGGGUGGAAGGGCAUCACCGGAUGCAUAAAACUUAGGCAUGGACACAGAGGAUCUUAACUUAAGGCAUGCGCUCUGUCACUAAAUACAUUAACUUCCUGGUUACUUAAGUGUGAUCUGAAUCUGAAAAUAUGUAUGGUUCCUCUCUAGAAAUAGUACUCUCAACCUUGAAGACAGAAAAACCAGUGGGAAGCUAGGGCUUAUGGUUGGUUUGGUCAUUAAAGCUUAAUGGCAAGUGUUCGAUCUCUAAUACAAACAGAUAUAUGUCAAAGUCAAAUUAACCCAACUUGUUUCUUUAUCUUACGUCUCUGCCUCUGCUGGUUGUUUUCAAAGUAGGUGAAAGCAUGCAAUAUAGUAUAUACUUCAACCCAAUAACUUGGCACGAGUAUGAUUCAUUCCACUGUGGAAAAAGCAUGGAUUUAUGAAUUCAAAAUACUUUGAGAGAGGGAGAGGUGCAAGAAAGGGUAAAAUUAAACUGCAUCACUGCAUGGAUGAGAUCAAAAUUGGCUGCAUAACAUAAUGCACAGUGGCAGUCCGAGUCAUCAUAUCAUAAUAAAUCAUCCAUUAUCCUACGAAGUAAAUUCAUAAGUUUAAAAUGGUUAGACAACUACUGCUUAAAAAGUUAAGGAGACACACCCUUCAUGGCUGAGAAGGAAAAGAAAAGGUUGUCCCUUUCCUCUCUCUCCAAUCCUCAUUACAUGUACAUGUGGCUAGUUUCUAGAUAAAAUUAAUUAAGUAAUUAAUCUCUUGAUUAAUCUUAAUCUGCUUUUGAUCUUAUUUUAAUUGCCUCAUAAAAUUUCUUAGUGACCCAUUUGAAGAUCUUGCCAGGAGCUUUACAUACACAUAGCUUUUUUCUGUGGUGAAACAGAAAGCUAAAAAUAAUAAAAACCCUAAUACUAAAUUCCAACUGAUAAGAUAUGGAUGACAAGAUGGGAAUCAAAUUUUCGCAAAUGCAACACACAAACGAACACUUUGAUUAGUGGGAAAUUUUUAGGCAAAGAUCAUAUCUUAUGUAUAUAUGCUUUGAUGAUCUCAUCAAUUUGGAAUGAUUUUUGCAGGCAGGUAACAUCAAAUGAGAGCGAGUGCUUUGACACCAAGUGUGUUUCUCUUUUCUCUUUUUUUUUUUUCUUUUUUUUUUUUUUUUUUUUUUUUUCUAGUUCCACGGCUAUCCUGCACUAUCAAAAGGUAUUUAAAAUUUAAUAUACAUAUAAUUAGUGCUCAGUCUUAAACAAAGCUUAUGAGCUAAUAAGAUUCUUCAAAUAAAUUUGGAUUAGACGUGUGUGAAAAUGUGUAGAGAUGGAUUCAUGUGUACAGAAAUCUAACUUCGAGCCCACCAUGGGAUCGAUCCAUGAAUUUUCUUCAUUUUUUGUUGCUUUCAUGGGGGAGAUUGCGUACAUGAAGAACUCGUUUUGGAGUAUGCACGUGUAGGUGGACAUACGUGAAGUAAAUUAAUUAGUAUGUCAUGUUAAUUUUAGCAAUUAAUUAUGAGCUAGUAAUGGUCAAGAUAAUCAUAAACAUAAUUGACAAAACAUUAGCUUUCAUUGGAUUUAACAGAAGUUAUUGGUACAAUGACACAUCAAUUGAGAAUCUCUAUGUGACGCAUUGCUUAAGAUUUAUAGAAUUUGUAAUAUAGAUACUUACAUACGCUUCACAAUAUAUAUACGCUCCAAAACAAUUGUCAAUGAGUAUAUAUAUUUAAUUCAUCAUUGGAUAUGUGGGAUACUCUCAAUAUAUCUCCUCGCUUGUUGCGUCUUUUGCAUAUAAAAGGUUGACAAUCUUAUUGGGUGAUGUGAGAUUAUGUGGUAUUGUUGGAUCUUCCUCGUCCUAUACUUUCAUAUCAUAUUAUACUGUGAGCAUCCAACUCAAAACUAAUUGACAAUGAAUGGAGAGUCCCAACAUCUUUAAACUCUUAAGCUAAACGUUCCUUUGAUACAGAAUACUCUGAAUAUACAAAAGAGAAUCAAACUCUUGACCUAACAUUAUAAAUCGUUUCCCCCACACCUCACCCACCUUCACCACUUGGACUAACCCUAAAGGCUUAAUAUAUAUAUGUCAUUUUAAUGGCUAUUUCAUCCACAAAAGAUAAAGAAAUAUGGGGGUAUGUGUAAAUGUUUACGUUAUGAUAAUUAUGAUAAAGUGGAUCUUGUCUAGGAAGGACUCCGUCAACAAGUUAUAAAUUCAAGUUGUAAUUUCAUGUAAUCUUUUCUCCGAAUGAUCUUUCUUAACCACCUUGAUUAGUUUUCGUGGGCUGAAUCUAGACUUUAUAUGGAUUUGACUUUAUAUUUAUUUAUUUUAUGAACUUGACUUUCAAGUACAAGUUCCAUUAUUCGGUGGAUUUUUCUCUCAAGCUAAAUUAAACAAAAGUCAUGUAAUUAACUUACUGAUUUAGUGGUUGGUUAGUGUCACAAGUUUGUUGGCAACUUCCGUAAUUUCUUCAAAAGAAAACAGAUUUAUUUUCUUUGAGGGAAACCGGUAUGGUCGGCACCUGUACCAAGGGGAGUGUCUCUGGUUCUGGUUGAACCAAAAACACCCAAAAGGUGAAAAUUAAGGCCAACCGUUCAAGUGCCGGCUUUUAUGCAUUACAAUGAACAUCACGUUUGCUCCCAGAUCAUCCGGCCUCUAUUAACCUUCUCCCUAUAUGAUUUUUCCCUUUCUAUGUAUCAUAUAUGCAUGACAUUAUGAGCAGUGGCGGAUUCAUGAAUUUUCUUUUUUAGGUUCAAAAAAACAUUAUUAUCUAGUCACUAAUAACAAAGAUCAAACGACUCUUAAAUGUUAGAAAACACAAUAAUAUAAAUACGUUCAUGCACAAAUUAGUAACAUAAACUCUGACUUUCUCCUAUUUCUUCUAUUACACGACACAAAGAGAAGAGUGAGAAGAAUGAAUCUAAAGAAUAAGACGAAUAACAUACGUAUAGGAGUAGAGUAUGUUACCCCGCUCGCCCUGCCUUAUAGUCUUCUUUGAGGCAUUUUAUCAAAUAACUUGGCCCCAUUCAAUAUCAAAUUUCAUGAAAAUUUGGCACCUUUCACAAGUGCCUUCACUGGACCGUUAAUAGAUCCGCCAAUGGUUAUAGGAUCGAUACACAUUCCUUUUAAGUUCAAUGAUUGUUUGGUUUCAUGACAUGAACCUUUCAUUUUAUUGGAGAACAUAUUGCAAUAAAUAACAUCAAAUUCACCGUGAAUCGAACCUAUAGUAACACACUGUAUAUUUCCUUUACUGACAUAGUGAGUUCAAAUUUCAUAAACAAUGACAGUUACAGAAACAAGAAAAACAAGAAGAAAAAAAGGGAAAAACAUUUCACCCUUUUCUUAGUUGUAGAGCAACAAAUAAACAUAGUAAACAUGGGAUAUAUUGAAUUUAGGAUACAAUCCAAGAGCCUGAUAUCACAUCUCGCAUAGCAAGCUUUGUCUGUGGGCCGUCGUGCAUAAGCCUUGAACUCCUCUGCACCUUUGCUGUCUUUCUCACUCCACCGAAAGCUUUCCCAUUAACACGCUAUUAUAGCUAAUAGCUAGCCGGCCACCCUAUCAUCUCUGGCUAUAUAUUUUUUUCAUUAUAUUCUUCCAAGAAAACUUAACACAUAUGGAUCUGAAAUCAUAUAUUAUAGAACUUAACAUGCAGAACACUCGAGUAUAUAUAUAUAUAUAUAUAUGAAAAAUACUUUUUUACUUUUUUUUUUAAUCUACCCAAAAACGCAAGUGUUGAAGAUUUUGGAAAUCCUCCCAUCAAGUAAAUUUUUUUAUAUUUUUUAUAAUGAAAAUAAUGUCCCUACCAUCCAUGGAUUGUUCAGUACAUGGGGGCUAGAACCUGGAGUUUACAAGACAGGUAACAUCAGUGAAAGACUUUCGUGUCUAAUUAUUAUUUUCUAUCCCUCUCCCUACCAACCAUAGGGUUUACUAAUCAAUCAAACAUGAUUAAUAUUCGGAUCAUUUUCAAGUUCAAAAGCUCAUCAUAUUUUUACAAGUAAAAGCUAAAUGAAAUCUAGUUAUGUACAGUGAUUCUUUUAGUCAAUUUAACAGUCUCCGCGUGAUAAUCUCUCUCUAUCAAAUAUAACACGAAAUUAUUUAACGGGUCAAAGUUUAAAAACCAUAGGAAUUUCAAAUAAACACCUUGUGUUUUCUUGAGGGGUACAGGUUGUUUUGUUUGCCCCCUAGCUAGCAAGCAGUUAGUCUAAAUAAUGGAAUUCUGUGAGGCAAAUUAGUUGAGUUGAAAUUAAGCAUAUAGUCUAAAGCUAAGUAAACGGAAUGGUUGAUGAUCCUAGCCAUUUUCUGACUUUAUAUAUCAAAUAUGUUUUGCUUGAUAUGUGUUAUUCGCGGAAUUAAAUAGGUCCAUACUGAGAUAUCAUAUAAGGUUACUUGACAUUGCUUGCACUCACUAUUAUACAUCUACGUAUAUGCGUCUUUUGUAGAGUCUAGAGCUACAUUUUAUUCGUUACGGUAAUUUACCCUCUUUGUUUUUUUUGAAAAAAGUUUAGGAGAAAAUUGGCUAUUCUCACCAUCAGAACCAGGAUAGACCCAAAACCUUAAGCCGGAAGGAUUUACACGUGGCACCCAACUGCUAGAUACCACCGGUAUGAAUUUAUAUAGGAAAUUAUAGAUCACGCAUCAACAAUGAUUGCUGGCAACGGGACUCGAAUAUUGGUGGGACUAUACAUGGUGCAAGGACCUUACCAACUGAACCAACCCUCCCUUAAUUAUUAGUUAUUUUAUUUUUAUUUUUUUUACUGGGAUCAACUUAGAGAUCAAUGCCUGAAUAUCAACUUGAAAAUCUUUUAACUUGAAAGUGUAAUAAACAAUGCAUGUUUUGUUGUUAAUGAUCAAACUUUAAGAGUUUUUUUAUUUAAACCUCACACUUCUCUUUGUUCACCCCAUACUCUAAGUUCACCCCAACUUCUAAUUCAAAUUUUUACAAUUGCUAAGAAAACCCCACUAUCUUCCCAAACUAUCCCUAAAUACACACCCAUCAGAAAAAAAAAAUUUAAAAUUGAAAACAUCAACUUCACACCUCACACUCCACACCCCGUUAUCUUGACCCUCACCAUCGAUGAAUAAAUGACUAUGGUUGUGUGAAUUUAGUUUUGUUGAUUUGGCUGAAUUUUGAGCUUGUAUGACUAAGAAGUUAUGCAAAUUUUUACAGUUUGAUCCAGUUGUUCAUAUUUGCAUUGUUGUGUUGUUCACUAAAAUCCCUAAUUCUGAUGUUCCAAGGCAUUAGGGUUUUGCCUGUACUGCAACAAUUGGUGCAUGAGACUUAUGUUGAUUUCGAUUUCUUUGGUAGUUGGAGUGAAAUAGUUUUGUUCCUAACUCCUCCCUAGUCUAUUGCUGUAAUUCAUGUAUAGUAGAAGACUGAUUUAACUAGCCCCAUUAAGAAUGUUGGCGAUUAGAACUUCAGCAUGUUGGCAAUUACAAGUUUUAGCCCUUGAAUUGGUCAUAUCAGUUUAUCUUUGCAGGUCCUUUUCUUUUGGUUUCUUUCACUAGAAGCAGCUAGGUGGUUGUUGGCACUUGAUGAAGAAAAAAACUGAAUAUAUGAACUCAAACUAAAUGCUUGGUUACUAAUUGUCACUGCCUUGAAAUUCUGUUUUUAUCUGAUACAUGGAUUCUAGUUGUCUAUGGAGAUAAAUUAACUCUAGUUUUGUUGUCUUCCAUAGGCCAUGUUUUCAGGAAUAAAAUCUCACUCCACAUCUGCUAGCAUUUUCUCAAGCAAUAGAAUGUAAAAAAAUUUGUGUUUUUCUAGAACUUAAUAUGAAGAGUGGUGGGUGGGGUGUGUAUAUAGAUAUAUUAGAGUUAAGUAUUAAGUUGAAUGACAUUUCUUGUUUUCUUACACAAUAAUAAAAUUUAAAAUCUUAAUAAUUUAAGUAUUAGGAUUAAAAAAAAAAAAAAAGUACUAGGUUUAAAUAGAAAAACUCAACUUUAAAAGGUUAAUCUGGCAUGAAAAACAGCGAUACACCGAUACCAGAAAAUUUUGAGUAGGUGGGUAGUGCCCUACACGUGGGACACGAUGAGUGAUAGUGAUAUGUAUUGGUCUGAUUUUUAAUAAAUUAUUAAUUCCUAAUCAUGGAUACUGUUUAUUUCCGGUAUCCAUCUCAAUCUUUUCGUGUGUGAGACUUGUGGGCUGGGCUUGACUACUGGACUAUAUCAGUGGUCAAAGACCUGGCUAUACCCAACCCCAUAUACGUGACUCUCAGCUUAAGCGCAUCAUGCAUGAUCAAUUCCAGUUACAUUUAGCAUGCAAUUGUGAUGCUACAAUGUCACAUAGAAAUGGUCUACUUGACAUGUUUGUUUAUCCAUAUUAUAAAAUUGUGCUUAAGUUUCGAAAGAAAAUCUAUGUUCAUGUGUACAGCACAACAGAAUAUAGUCAAGUUAUGGAAAGAGGUGUAAGAGAAAUCAAAAGCAGAAUUUCGGACUUUUGGAAUUUAUGAAUAUAUGAGAGACAUUAAAAAUCAUAUUAUUUUGUUAUUAAUCUAAUGAAAUCGAUACAAUCAUUAACACAUCAUCACCAAUGAAAAUUUUGAUGAGCCUUUCAUUUUCUGGCUACUUUCUGUAAUGAUAUCAAGUGCUUGUCAACUAAUAUUUUAACAAUUUCAAUCGACUCACAUACUAGUAACUUUGUAGAUAAUAAGUUUUUGAUUGUUUGUGGUGUAUACAUUAGGUAAAUCUUGCCACUCUUUGCUAAAGCGUUGUGUUUUUUAGGCCAAACUUUAUGGAUGACCAGAGGUUGAAAAUUACACAAAGCAAAUCCUCUUCCUAAUUCAAAUAAUUUUUUUCUUUCUCAUUGACCUUAUUUAAGCAUGACAUAGCUAAGUGGUAUAAAGUAUUAUACACAGAGUUCAGCAUUUUGUUUGCUUGCAAACCUACUCAGAAGCCCUGAACCUUUCCUUCUAAUAUUAUCUAAUUAAAUUUGAGUCAACAGGUGGUAGUUGGCUAAAGCAGUCCCGUGCCUGUGAGAAUUAAAUUCAGAGAGUACAAGUCAAAUGAGCUUCAAGUAUUUAUUGUCAGCCUUUGUGAUCAAACCAUCUGCACCAUUCAAUAUCCAUCAAUCUAGCUCUCCACCAAAAACCACCACAUACACAAAAAUCAAUGGCUCCAAGUUUCGAAGAUGGAAACUCACUGUUCAACUUUGUUGUCAGAGAUGGCAAUGGUGUGAAGGGCAUGGUGGACUUGGGCCUAUCGAAAGUGCCUGAACAAUACAUACAACCGCCCCAUGAGCGCAUAGUGAAGCUAAAUGCAAUCUCAGCAGAUGAGCUCUCACCAAUCGAUUUGUCAAAGCUAGAUGGGCCUGACCAUGACCAAGUAGCAGAUGCCAUUGUUAAUGCUGCUGAGGUUCUUGGGUUCUUCCAAGUUGUGAACCACGGCAUGCCUGUGGAGUUGCUAGAGUCCCUUAAAAAUGCUGCACAUGAUUUCUUCGGGCAGGCGCCGGAGAAGAAGGCUGCUUAUCGGAAAGGCGUGAGCCCUAGCCCAUACGUGAAGUAUGGGACGAGCUUUGUGCCCGAGAAGGAGAAGGCAUUGGAGUGGAAGGACUAUGUAAGCAUGGUGUAUUCCAGUGAUGUUGAUGCUCUCACUUAUUGGCCUAACGAGUGCAAGUAAGUAGAGUUCAUAUCGAUGAUCUGAUAACAUAACCUGUCACAUUGUCUCAUAAUAUAUAUAUAUAUAUAUAUAUAUGCGCAUUUUUACACUUCAUGGACAAACUAAGCAUCAACUCGAUGAGUUGAUUGUUUAUCACCACGAAAUUUGUAGGGAAGUUGCACUUGAGUACCUGAAGUUUUCUAUGGAUAUGGUAAAGAAAAUACUGAAAGUCUUGAUUGCAAAGCUUGGAGUGACACUAGAAGACUCAAAAAUUGAUGCGCUCAUUGGCUUGAGGAUGGUUAACAUGAAUUUCUACCCAACAUGCCCUGAUCCAGAACUCACUGUCGGAGUUGGGCGUCACUCGGACAUGGGCACCUUAACUGUGCUACUGCAAGAUGGAAUUGGUGGUUUGUAUGUGAAAGUUGAAGAAGACAUGGAUGCUGGAAGAAAGGGAGAGUGGAUUGAGAUCUCACCUGUCCCUGGUGCUCUGGUCAUCAACAUUGGAGAUACAUUACAGGUUAAUUAAUUACAAUCCAUUAGAUUAAGCUUUAAUAGUAUGCCUGUUUCAUAAUACGAGAGCCACCAAUCAAACUCAGCGUUGUAGACGAGUGUGGCUAGUCGAGUUCAUGUUCUUACAGAUAUUUAACCAUCUCAUCACAUGUGAUUGUUUUGUUAUAGAUACUUAGUAAUGGAAGGUACAAAAGUGCUGAACACAGAGUGCGUACUACAAGCACCAAAUCAAGAGUGUCUGUUCCAAUUUUCACCAUCCCAAAGCAAACAGAAAGAAUUGGGCCACUGCCUGAGGUGGUGAAGAAUGAUGGAGUUGCUCGUUACCGUGAGGUGGUGUUUGAAGAUUAUAUGAGCAACUUUUUUGGCAAUGCGCAUGAGGGGAAGAAGUCUCUUGAGUAUGCACAGAUUAUUAUUAGCUCCACCUCCACUUGAUGCAAAGAAACUGGUGUAUUUAUUUUAUUUGGUGCUUGCUCUCCUGAUAUUCUCCAUUUGUGUAAGAGUUGAAAUUACUUGGAUGUUGAAGCCUAUGCAACACUAAAGUUUGCUUCUUUUGAUUGAAUAAAGAGGAACACUGUAUUUAACUCUAUAGUUUCAGUAAGCUGUGCGCUGAGUUCAUGAAUGUAUAAAAUCCUUGUUGUUCAUCCAAAAGCUAUAGUAUUACAAAUCGAUAAUAUCGGCGAUAUUUUCGUUUUUUUCCUCUCCCAAUAUGAUAUUUUGGCAAGUUUCCAUAUUGUAUUGUAAUUUUAUUGAUGAAUUCGUUUGUAUUUUCAAACGUAAUAAUGCACGUGUGUAUUAUUCACAUAUUAUUGAAUAAAAGUACUACGCAUUAAGAAUUUUUAAAUUAUUAUUAAAAUCAUAUAUAAUGAUAAAAUUUUAUCACCGUAUAGUUUUCUUACCUUUAUUGAAUAAUGCACGUACAUAUUUUAUUCCACAUUUUACUAUCUUGUGAUUCAUUAAUCCAUAAUCGAAAUCAAAGGGAAAUUUGCAUAAAUACCACAUGAACUUUUAGAUAAGUGCAUCAUUACCACAUGAACUUUUAGUUUUUAUUUUUAACCACCUAAACUUUGUAAAGUGUUGUAAUCCAACACCUAUGUCUAAUCCCGUUAAAAUUUCCAUUAAAUUUAAGGGUAUUUUCGUCAAUUACUGACUAAAAAGAAUUAUAAAGAAACAGAAUUUAAAAAAUAAAAUUAACCUAAUUAUACGCAUUACCCCAAACCCUAAACCCUUUCCCCCACCACACCCGACCACAAACACUCUGCUUUUGUCUCUUGGAUUAUCAAACCCCUUCUUCCCAAACCUUGAGAUUAUCUCUCCCACAAGUCCACGCUGAACUCCAUCAGGUUUCACCAUUUUGUAUGUCUCAUCAACUUGUUCCAAUGAAGCAGCCAAGUGAGGAAGAAAGUUGCGAGGUUUGGGGAGGCUUUUAGCAUGAGGACGAGAUGGGAAAUAUGAGAAAACGGUUAUUCUUGUGGUGGUCGUAAGAUAAGCUGCAGAUUCUCUCAGCUGCUGAGCGUUGAAGGGUGAGGAAACACAUGGACUUGCUCCGCCAAACACUGUCAGAGUCUCCAUUCUGUCUCUGCUUCUAUAUCCCUUCUUUUUUAUUUUUAAAACUAGGUUUUUUAAGAUUAGUUUUUUAGUGAACUGACGAAAAUGACCUUCCACUUAACGAAAAUUUUAACAGAAUUAGACGUAGGUGGUGAAUUGCAACACUCUACAAAGUUCAGGUGCUUAAAAAUAAAAAAUAAAAGUUCAUGUGGUAAUAGCGCACAUGCCUAAAAAUUGAGGUGGUAUUUAUGCAAAUUUCCCUAAAGAGUUGGACUCUGACUACGGAUUACUCAUGUGUUUACUUCACAUAAAGGAAUGAAAGUGCAAGUGGGGCCCAAGCAAAAAAAAAAUUCAACUCAUGAUUUUGGAGGAAUUGGACUCUUGAGUGAAAGGUGAUAUUUUAAUUCCUGGAGAACUAACCCAUCAAAAAUCCAUCUUUUUUAAAAUUUUAAAUUUGCCAUACACUUUUACCAACAAUAAGGACAUUUUAGUAGUCAAAUUAGUUUCAAUUCUGAUCCAUGGGAAUUUAGUAAAUAACAGAUAAGGAAUCACUAUCAUUCUUACCAUGAUUCUAGAUAGUUCAGUAAACAACUUCAUGGGAAUCCGGAUUCUAAGAGCAUCUCCUUGCAGGAGUGUAAAAAGAGAUGUAAAUGAUAUUUACACCCAAAGUUGCCAGAAGUUGCUUCAAUGGUGGGGCGAAAAUGAAUGCAAAUAUAGCGCAUUUGGCCGGAAAAUGUAAAAAAAAUGAAUAUUUACAUAUGAUUCUGUUGUGUGGAAGCGUCAACCAACUGUGAGUGAAAAUAAAACAACUGGCAAGAGAUAAAAAAGAACAAAACAACACCAACAAGAACACCAAGAUUUAUACUAGUUCGGCAAUGCCUACAUCCAGUUUAGAGACGACGAAGUAAUCCACUAUAAUCAAAUAAGAGAAUACAAUAGUGUUUAACACUCAGAAACCCAAACCCCAAAUAUACCCAAGCUCACACACUCAAAAAUAUAAAGGAAUUACAAAUUAAGUACAAUUUAGAGAAAGAGAAAAAUAACCAACAACAGCCACAAAUUAUUUUGCUGCCCAACUAUUAUUUUUCCUCUCUUACUUUCUCUACUACCAACUUCUCUUUGCUCUCUCUUUGGUGCAACUUAUUCUCUCUACUGGACUGCUUCCCUUUUAUAGCCAAACGAUGAGUGGCUUUUCAAAGAAGCCAACGGGUGGGCUGCUAAUCAAGUCAGACCAAUCAAUUAGCAAAGUCCAUUAAUUAAUGUAUUCCCAUGCAAUUUGUCUGCCAAUCAGCCAACUACCAAAAUAAAUAGCCGAAAGCAACAUUGCACAUGGGUGCAAUCUUGAGUCAAAUAGUCAUCAAAAAAGUUUUACACUUUUGACUUGUUUGAGCCAAUAAUCAACAUAUUCUGCAUCCUCGUUUGCUAGGCUCCGCAAGCUGAAAAUGAGGAGAUAUAAUGCAAUAGUGUUGGGCUCCACACAUGUUGGGAACAUGGUGGAGGAUAUUCUUCGAUUCAUGGCGGACUUGGCGGUUACAAGUGUGCUUUAUCAACCCCGGUCCGACAAUGGAGUGGCGCAUGAGUUGGCACGGGUUGGAUUAACGGAAGGGACUACUUUUGUUUCGGAAGAUAUCGCUCCGCCUUGGUUGGAGUCGAGCGUUACCAGAGAUAUGGAGUUGGGCUAGGUUUUUUUAUAUAUUUAGUUCAUGUCGGAGGCGCUGUGACACUCUUUUUCCUUAACCAAAUUUUCUUAUUUGGAUGUUUUUAAUGACAAGGUUUUAACGAGGACACCUCUUCUGCUCUCAUGUUACGUAUUGAUGUACUAACUAUUUGUGCCUUAUAUUGAAGGUUAAUGAAAGUUACUAUUGAUUUUAAAAAAUAAUAAUAAUAAUAGGUGAGACAACUACCAAAAUAUUAUAAACAUUAUUUUGCUUCAACUUGAUAUAAAUUUAUUUCCUUUCAUGUCCUUUUAUAUCAUUUUUUUAGGUACAAUUGAGCUAGAGGAAGGGAAACAAUGAAUCAACCCAAAGUACCUAGAGCUUCAAUACAUAGUGUUUCAAUGUUUGAAAAUUCUAGAUGGCAUUCAGAGAUAGAAAUUAAAUAAGAAUCACAUAUUAUGCACAAAAAAUUUACCAAUCUAUAAAUUAACAUUGUCAACAAAUCAAGUGUCUGUCAAAUUCGUUUCACAAUUUGACCCAUUUGGUCAGGAGACUUGAUCAGACUUAGCAGCUACUUACACCAUUGCGUGUUUCACACUUCACGAAAUAUGUAACUUCCCUUUGCAACCUCUUAACCCCAUGUGUUUUUACAAAAAAAACUAAUUUAAUUACUUACUAUUUCUCGUGUGCAUAAUGUACUUCCCCCUCUAAGGGUAGUUUAGGAUGUAUUUAACGGUAAUUUGGGAAGAUAGUGGGGUUUUCUUAGAAAUUGUGAAAAUUUUAAAUUAAAAGUUGAGGUGAACUUAGAAUAUGGGUGAAUUAAGAGAAGUGUGAGAUUUAAAUAGAAAAUCUUUUUGUUUGUUUCUUCUGGUCUGCAGAAAAAAUUGGGUUCAGUUCAGUGGAAAUGCACAUAUAUGGACCGACUCGUUUAGAAUAUGGCCGUACAUGUUAAGGCGGUGCAAAGCUUCUUCCUUUAGUUUUUAAUUUAACCACACACUCCAGAACGCUUGGAAGCACAAAACUUUAUUGGCGUUCGAAUCUCUCUCUCUCUGUUGUUCUGUCACUGUUGGAUCGAGCAUGGAGGCAAGUAAGGAAGCGUUUCUGAGGGAGUUUGGGGAGCAUUAUGGGUACCCGAACGGUCCCAAAACCAUUGACGAAAUCCGAGCAACCGAAUUCAAACGAUUAGAUGGUCUGCCUCUCUUUAAUUCGCUUCUAUAUUCUAUCCCUUUGCUCUCUGUUUGCUUCUUGAGAAAUUUGAGCUGAAAAAAAUGACAAGAAGCAAAUAAGCUUUCGGUUUUAUCAUUUUCAGUCUUAUUUGUUGAACCCAAGUGCAAUUUUUCUAGUUUUUAAUUGAGCUGGGGAAAUGAAUUAAGUUCUGAAAAUUUAUUUCUUGGUGGGCAUACAGGGGAAUGUUGGUGAGGUUUGUUUAUUGGGUUUUGGCUAUUGAUGCUCAUGGGUUUGGGAAAUGUAGGUCUUGUGUACUUGGACCAUGCUGGUGCGACUAUGUACUCUGAGUUGCAGAUGGAAGCAAUCUUUAAAGACUUCACUACCAAUGUUUAUGGAAACCCACGUAUCCUAUUACAUGUGAAAUGAAUGAUUGUGGUGUGAGAAAUCGUUAUGUAAUUGCUGGAACAGGAUUUGCAAUAUAAUCUUGUUCUGCUGGUUGUUGAAAUCAAAUUGUCUUAUAAAUUUAAUUUAUGACCUUGUUGUUAUUCAUGGUUGCUUUUCAUUAAGUUCCUUAAUUUAAAUUCAGAUAGUCAAAGUGAUACGAGUUCUUCCACUAGUGACAUUGUAAGGGAAGCCCGCCAACAGGUAUCAUAUGUUAUCUCUAGCUGCCUUGGUGUUAGUCCUCACAAUAUAAUGAAUUUUAAAGGUUCAAUAUAUUUUUUCUAAUCUUUUCCAGGUAGUUGGAUAGAGUGGGAAUAUUAUGACCACUAAUUGUCCUGAAUUGAUCUUUAUGAGUAAUUUUUGUUAUCAUGAUUUUUUUUUUCCUGAUGAUUCAUGUGCAAGAUUAAUAGUUGGUCCCACAGUUCGUACUUUUAGUGAGUUUCUGAAUAGCCCUGUCACAUUCGUAUAGGUCCUUGACUAUUGUAAAGCAUCGCCAAAAGAUUACAGCUGCAUAUUCACUUCUGGGGCUACAGCGGCACUGAAGCUGGUAGGGGAGGCCUUUCCUUGGAGCUGUCAGAGCUGUUUUACAUACACGAUGGAGAACCACAAUAGUGUCCUUGGGAUCAGAGAGUAUCCUAACAUGCAUCACUCAGUCAUCAUCUUUAAUAGAUGGGGUUAGCUUCUUUUUUUUUUUUUUUUCUUUUUCAAUGAUUAUUCUAGAAUUUUUGUUUGUACAUUUAAUGGAGAGGAUCCUUUUCACCAGCAUUUAUGUCUCAACUUACAAGUUUGUGCUUAAUGUUUGGCAUGGAAGUUGAACAUCAGUUUUGUCAGAUGAUUGACUUCUGAGUGAUAUUACAGACUUACUUUGUGUACCAUUAAUGCUUGUGGUCUUUGGACCUGUAUAUAUGUUCCCUUACCGGAUGUUGUUUUUCUUGAAAUCUUUUGAAAUCAAAUGGAGAGCUUGGGCCAGUUUGUUUUGUAUGCAAUAUUUUGUACACUCUACUAUAAUUUUGAAUUGACGUCAUUAUUCUUGUGUUUUUCAUUUUCACCUUCUUAAGAGUCUGAGCGCCAUAUAUGUAGCCCUUAAUUAGUUUAGAUAUGCUCUGGAUCAAGGAGCUGCAGCCUUUGCAAUAGAUGUUGAAGAGACUGUGCAUCAUGGAGUAUCCAAUGGUACUGCAGCAUCUAUGAAGGUGUUGCAGUACCAAGUGCAAAGGAGAAAUGAAGCAAGUUCCCUGGAAGAGCCAACAGGUAAUUCUGACUGGACGCAUUAGAUAUUGAUGGAAAGUUGGCAAGACCUUGAUCGCAGCACAUCUUCCUAGCAUUUUUGGAUGGUUGCUAUCUGCGUAUGCAUUUUCAUGCAUGUCUUUGGUAGGGAAAGGGGGUUCAAACGGUUUGGCUGAAUUAAAAUUGGGAUUUCAUGACAUUCAAGAUUAUGACAAUUUUUCAUUGGAUAUCUGUUGCAACACCAGUCAGUUGUAAAAAACUGUACAAUGGGUGAAAAUUUAAUUGGUUUUUAGUGGUUUGAUGUUAUCAUUUAUAAGUUAUUGUUGUUGAUUUCUUUAAGCCUGUUGUGAAAGUGUUGGUCUUAAAUAUGAGACAAAUAAUUGUAAAUCAUAUUCAUACCUGUACUUUGUUUGCGGAUACUGUUAUAAAUAACAGUUAUGUAUACUGAUAUUUUCAGGAGAGUUCAUGAUAACGUACAUGAAUUUGAUUUCAUUUCAUUUUCCUGAUGCAGGAGAGGCAUAUAACUUAUUUGCCUUCCCCUCAGAGUGCAAUUUUUCUGGUUUGAGAUUCAGCCUUGACUUGGUGAAGAUAAUUAAAGAAGAUCCGGCAAGAAUUCUGGAAGGCUCUCCAUUUUGCAAGUAGGUCAUACAUUAUAUCCAGUAAACUUUUUAUUUGCUCUGCCAUUCACAUAUGAUUCUAAUCUGAAUUAAUGAGACCAGUUUAUCUUGCAUAAGCAGAAUAUAACUGUAAUAUCAGUUUUGAAUUUUCAAUGGAUGUGGUUAUAUUGGUAGAGAGCCGAAUGUUACUUUGUAUGGCUGGUUGAGGUUUUUGUUGUCUUCCCAUUAAUUUAUGGACCUCUCUUCUUCUCAUGUUCUUCACCUUUUCUAUUACAAAAAAUAAAAUAAAAAGGAAAAGAAAGGCAGAAUUGCUUUGAAUGUACAUACCUAUGUUGCUGUUGUGUCAUGACUUGUUUCUGGAAGAAAAAUAUAUCAUGAAUGGAAGAUCCUCUAUACAAACAUUAGUAUGCAGACAAAUGCAUGCAUAAACAUGUGCAUGCUAGUGCGUCUCUGCACAUGUUUUCUGUUGGCUUGGUUGUCUUGUCUUUUUCUGCGAAUGUGAUAUAUAUUUAUCCUCCGAGUCUCUAUUUUUCUGCCUUUUGGUCUUUCUUUUCAAUGAAGGGUUUUCCUGGAAGACAAGUAUAGAAUCUUUGCUGAUGAUCUCUCUUUGAAUGCUUCUAUGUUAGACAGCAUAGGUUUUGCUCAUUCUAGUAUGCUUUGCUGUUUAUAUUGGGACAUCUAGCUAGUAUACUAUAGAGGAAUUAAAUUUUUGAGAAUUUCUUUAAAAAUUCUUCAAUUUGAAUAUUAUGCAUUUAGUAUUUUAUUUUAUUUUUACUUUUUUUAUAUCAUAAGUGGGCGCUGGAUGGUCUUGAUUGAUGCUGCAAAAGGAUCUGCUACAGAACCACCAGAUUUAUCAUUAUAUCCGGCAGAUUUUGUUGUUAUGUCUUUCUAUAAGGUACAUGUCUUUGUUUGGAUUUUGUUAGAAACCAUUACCUUUGGAUAUUAAUGUUUUGUAUCUGUAUGUUUCUUGUUAAGCUGUUUGGUUAUCCAACUGGACUCGGAGUGCUCAUUGCUCGAAAUGGUAAGUAACUAAUAAUGAACAUAAUCAUAUUUUAAAAAUAAUUUGGUGGUGUGUUAGAAGUUUUCACCAGUCUCAUAUAUAUGUUGUGAUAUUGCCUUCAAAGUACUAAAAUUGCCUUUUAUCUUGUUUUCCAAGGGUGGGUAGGCCUAGUUCAUUUAUUUGUGAUUUUAGUUCUUGUUGCAUGUGCCAUUUUCUUCCCUUUAAAGUAGGAUGUCACAGAAAAUUAUAGAAAUAUGGCCACUAGAUCUCUUCUUGGUUGCUUGCAUGAACUUACUACUUGUGAAAAUUAUGUUCUAAUUUUUUGUUCAUGCUACUUCCAUUAAUUUUUUCUUUGGUGGUGUAUCAUCUUGAAAUGUAAUAUCAAAACUUAGGGAUAUGUUUUUCUUAUUUGAACUUUUAUUUUACAACACAGAUGCCUCCAGGUUAUUGAAGAAGACGUACUUCAGUGGAGGUUUGCACCUAGAUAUCUAAUUUGCUAUCACUAGUCUGUAUAGUUUUUUUUUUUUGGGUCACACUAGUCAGUAUAGUAAUACAGUUGGUAAUCAUACGAACAUUUCAGGCACAGUCGCAACCUCAAUUGCUGAUAUUGACUUUGUUAGGAGAAGAAAAAGUGUGGAAGAGCUCUUUGAGGAUGGCACCAUUUCAUUCCUGAGCAUAGCUUCUGUUCACCAUGGGUUCAAAAUUCUUAAUUCCCUAACUGUAUCUGCCAUAUCUCGGUAUGUUAUAGUUUUUUAGUUUCAAAUUGCAUUGUCUGUACUCUGUAGUGAUAAAAAUAACUCCUCAUUUUCUAAACAAACCUUUAUGCAUGUAAUACGGUUGAAUUGCUCCUCUGAAAUAAGUUAAAAUCAUCGUAUUGUAUUGUGACAUGAAUCAUCCUUGGGAUUUUUCUUGAUAUAUGCACUUUUUACAUUGAGAAUUAGCUGAUCUCUACCUAGGUAGGACAAUGAUGGAUCUGCAUUCUCUCAUCAUUAGUUUGUCUCAAUUUUCUGCUAAGAAUAUUUCCUGCCAUUGCAUUUGGACAAUGAAAAAAGUUAAGUAUGACUCUGCAAGUCUUUUCCUCAUAAUUUUCAUCAUAUAUAAAAAAAACUGUGGUAUAUUUUAAUUUCAUUUAAUUUUCCAUUGCCAGAAAUGGGUAUUCUCCUUGAUCUUCGUACGUUUUCAUUUCCAUCUUCAGUUAAUAAUCUUUGUCUAGAUAAUAGAUAUAGAUGAAAUGCUCUGAACCAUGCAUGACCUUGCUAUUAUUUUAGGCAUACAGCAUCUCUUGCCUGGUACGUGAGGAAGAAGCUCUUGGGCUUGAGGCAUGAAAAUGGAGCCCGUGUUUGCACACUUUAUGGAGAUUCCAAGGUUUCCUUUGUAUUUGAAUGCUUACUUUUCUUUUUGUAGUAAAGCUGCCACGUUUACUAAGUGAAUGAAAUGCACGUCAUUUCAUAUGUUAUAUCUCUUGGUGUUGUGGAGGAGGAAGGAUGGGGGUGGCAGUUAGAACUUCUUAUAUUUUUCUUUUUUUGGUAAAAACAAAGGCUUCUGAUUCAUUUCAAGUAAGCCAACUUCACUGCAUGAUUCUUUUUAUAUCCGACUGUGGUCCAAUUAUGUAAAUUUCAAGAUGCCAGUUCAAAUUUGGUCUGACACAUGAUCCCCAGUUUGAGUUGAGUUCAUCUUGGUUGUAUCAGGUGGUGGCACCUCCUCUUAAGACUGAGGGUGAUGCCUUGGUGCUUGUGCUGUUUACCUGGCACAUUAGAGAAAAGUUCAUUGACUGUAUUAACCUUCUCGACUUUCAGUGGGUCUAGCUAACAUGGAUGACUCUGUUUGAUAUACUAUUAAGGUCUAAUGUGUCAAUUCUUUAGAACUUUCGAUUCGUUUGUCGAUGCUCUGUAAAUUAGUUAGUUUAGAAGUCUAAUCUUUGAUCAAUUUAGUAAAUGCUCUAUGGACAGAAUCUCUUUCUUCUAUGUUUUCUGAGAUUUGUAGAUAACAAUCUGAUAUAUUUCAAAACUUUAUUCUGUUAGGCAUUAUUUCAUGACUUUGGUCCUACAGUCUCGUUCAACUUGAAAAGGUCGGAUGGCUCCUGGUCUGGAUACCGUGAAGUGGAAAAACUGGCAUCUUUAUCUGGAAUUCAGUUACGGGUAAAUUUAUGAGAUGUUAUUUGGCAUUCAACCCAUCCUUUCGGUCUUUGUGUGACAAUCAAAUUAUGCUACUCUACUAGAAAUGGCAAUAUGUGAUUUAUUUAUUAUUUAUUUUACCUAAUUCACAAAUGAUAGGUAACUUGAAAUUGCUAAAGUCGUUGCAAGGUUUACACUGUUGGGUGGCCCUAGGGUUUGUGAUUUGAUUUGGGCAAAACCCUUCUAAGGGAAUUGGGUAUGGAUGCCCAGGAAUGUAUGAAACUCUAAUAGUGAUAAUAAAGCUGUCAUCAAUAGAAUCCAGUCCAAUAUAAUAGAACUAGAAGAAAACCUGGAAUCUGGUGUGAUGUGAUAUGCACUCCUUUUGUGAAGACAUGACAAGAACUUGCUGAUAUCUUGACAAAGAGUGUGCCUAGUACUCUCUUCCAUUCAUUUGUCGACAAACUUGGUAUGCUAAAUAUCUGAGCAUCAGCUUUGAGCAGUGUUGGAAUAUUUGUUGUGUAGCUUAGGAUGUUCUUGCCUUUGUGAAAUUACCAAAAUAUAUGAUGUACAAUAGCUUAGGAUAUAGCAUAAGCAUCUCUUGGUCACUUCUCAAGGUGUUAUUCAUUUGCAAUAUGUUGGCGAUUUUUCAGCAUUUCCUUGGUGUCAGAACCACGUGGAAUGUGUUUUUUAAUUUUUCUUUCUGUUAAGCUCACCAAAAUUGGUACUUAGGAUUUUAUAAAAAUAUUCUUCUGUUUUUAAACGCAAUUGAUCUUCUGAGAUAACUUAUGUCAAUCUAUGUAUAUAAUUCAUAUUUUGCAUGCAUUUCCUAAAUUUGUUCUAUGUAAUGAUAUAUAAUCUGGUUGGGUGAGAGAAAGAUCAGCAAUUUUACUCCACUUGUGACGGGUCCUGACAUUCUUUUAUAUCCUCCUUUCUAUGUAGACAGGAUGCUUUUGCAAUCCCGGUGCAUGUGCAAAAUAUCUUGGCUUGUCUCACUUGGACCUUCGUUCAAACUUCGAGGUAUUUGGAACUGUUUAUUUUGAUUUCUUUUUUUUUUUCUUUUUUUUUGUUGUUGUUGUGGUUUUCGAGGGGAAAGGAAGGGGUGGGGACGUGUGGGGGAUUGGGGCUCACUUCAGACUUUUCUUAGGAUUUAGUUAAUGAAUGACUAUUCUAUUCUAGUUGAAUGAUCCACCGCAUGGCAUGUCUUUUCAGUUUCUGCUUGAGGGUAUGAAAUAGUCUUAACAAUUUGGUUUUGGAUAUUAGGCUGGACAUGUUUGCUGGGAUGAUCAUGACAUAAUUCAUGAAAAACCUACUGGAGCGGUGAGAGUAUCCUUUGGUUAUAUGUCAACAUUUGAAGAUGCAAAGGUAGAUGUUCUUUCUCAAGCCAUAGAGAGUAUAGUUAAAAUUUGAAGUGUACAGUGUUGCAGCAUUUCCUUUCCAAUUUUAUGCAUAAGCUGAUGUGAAGCACAACAUUCCAGGCUUUAACUAACAAAUGUUUGUUUUCUUAGAUUUUGAAAGGCAAAAACACCAAUUUGGGCUUUUCAUUCCAGUCUGAUUUUCUUUUCUCUUUCUUGUUUUAUGAAAUGCAGAAAUUUAUUGAUUUCGUGACAAGCUCCUUCAUAGCGUUACCCAAUUGGAUUGAAAGUGGGUAUCAACUAAUGCAAGGUUCAUCCCCUUUCUAAAUGAAGGUUAAUUUAUAUAUUGCUUUAUACUCUGGUCUGAAAGAGUUGAAGUUUGGUUUAAAUUACAUAUCUUCAUUUCCUGUGGAGGAUUCCAAUCUCCUGCUCCUCCCCACCCUCUCUUAAUUCUUAUUUUCUUUGCAUUUUCAAAAUUUUAAGCCAUGUCAUUGUUUCCGUUGCCUCACAAGAUGAAGUGAUCGUUUUUCAUGUUAUUAAUAUAGGAAAGAAAAGGACUGGGAAUAGUAAAAUUCUAUGCAGCACGGAUGACGCAUCUAUGUGUGGUGUCUUUUGCAUGGUAUUGUAUGUUGAGAAAUAAAGAGGGAGAGAAUAAGGUGCUUCAAUCAUAAUACUUACAGGGUCUACAUGAAGCAGAACAUUAGUUAUAAUAAGAAACUAAACAAUGGCGACGUAGGAAACUAAAUUACACUCCUAUAGGAACCAAAUGUUCUUACAAAAGAACAGCCAUUCAAGAGAUAGCAUAGAUGCUAAUUAUGCCUAGCUUGUUAAAUCAGUCAUAAACAUAAUUGAAACUUAUAAUUUUAAAGCAAACUCAAAACAUAAAAGUGAAUUGGAUUUGUACUUGUGCUACCUUGAAUGAAUGUUCUCAUGCCACCUUGAGCCUUGAGUUUCUUUGGAUAUGAUCUUUAAGAUCUUCAAUAGUCUUUCAGUAUUACUCCUGAAUGUGUUAGGGUUCAACUUGUCUGAAAUUUUGAACCAGACAUUUUAUAUUUGGGGAUCUUUGAACUUUGACAUGGUUUUAUUUCUCACUUCAAUAACUUAGGAUUCACAUGGCUACAAACUGGCUUGCAUCGUGUGCCUCUACCUAAAUUAUAAUUGUGAAAUUGUUUAAAUAGAGUACAACCCUAAUUCAAUAGGAAACUAGCUAACAACCGAAACACCUAAUUUAGGAUACUAGUUAAGCCCAUAAACAAAGUAGAAGCAUUCUUAUACUCUUAAAAUACAAAUUCUCUAAUAUAACUUUUUUUCAUCUCCCAUUCCACAUUUUUUUAAUGAUAUUGGAUGAGAGAAAUAGUAGAGUUUUUUUAUUUAAGGAGAGGAGCGCUCAUUUAUGGAAACCAAAGCCCAGAUUUUGGAUGGUUAAUUGAGUGGGCCUUGUGAGCUUUUUCCAUGUCUCCUAUAUCUCGUCAGUUUUUGCUUUCUUUAUGCUCUUUUCAUUGUGGGUUUUGUGUACAUGGGUUGCUCUACACUAAAAUUCGUUUACUUAUUAAUAUAUUGUAGGUUCUGAAAGCAGACUAGGAGCUGCCAGUUUCUAUCUCAAGUCUAUCACUGUUUACCCAAUAAAAUCAUGUGCAGGAUUCAAUGUGGAAAGUUGGCCUUUGAGCACUACUGGUAGCUAUUUCUUGUCUUCACAUUUUGUGUGUUUUUUCUUGGAAUAGUUGUGUAAAAUAUCAUCAUAAUUUAAUAAUAUUGUACCCAGUAGGAGGCACCUUUUUGAAUAACACAAGGAUACAAGCCUGCCGUGCCAGUUAAUCUUAUGUAACAAGUGUUAUUUGAUAGUAAUUAUGAUGGAAAAGAAAAGUUACACCCCCAUGGAUUAUCAUACUUAGGAUCACCCUAUUUCGGUGAAGAGCGUAGCAAGCAGUGGUUAUAUGUGGCGAAGCAUAAAGAAGAAGAGAUUGGAAUUGUACUCAUCUCUUGAAGAUAACAUGUAUUAACAUUUACCAGAACCAAAUUUUGUUGUUGAACCUUGGUGACUUAAUAAAGCUGGAUGUGUUUCACGGUUUCAAGAAUGUAGAUUGAACCUUAUGAUUUUAUAAUUGUUUUCCUUUUUUCCUUUGGCAUACUAUCUGUUCAUUUCUUAUAAGUUUGUGCUGCUCCAGGAAAUUAGCAAAAUUUCGUUUGUUAUUUAUUAUAUAUAUUUGUGUCUCUAUGUAUGUAUGUAUGUAUGAAUGUAUGCAUCUUAAUGCAGUGACAAUAUAUAGAGGGCCUAGAGGCACUGUAUGUUCCAUUAUUUGAAUAUCCCUGUUUGAUGGGUAGAAUCUUUGUCAUAUCUGGGAGUGUAUUGGUUAAUGGAAUUUUAUUAUUUUUUGGGUGGUUUUUUAGCAGGUUUGCUUCAUGAUCGGGAAUGGGUUCUUGCAAGCCUAAGUGGUGAAAUUCUUACACAGAAGAAGGUGAAAUACCAAUUUAGUAGUUUUCGACCAAAAAACCCAAUUUAGUAGUUUCAAGCACAUGCGAAUGCGCACAAACACAGUGCAAUUGGCUCAGACCCUAGGCAUGGCUCCAACACGUGGGAUGGGUACAUUCGUGUUCAUGCCAUGCCGAUGUUGUGCCUAGGGUAUGGGUAACUUUUUCUUUUCAUAUUUUUAAUUAAGAGGAUUAGGUUUUUUUCCUUGUAGUUAAAGGUAUGGGAUAUUUAUAGGCGAAAGAGUAGGGAAAAGAAUAAAAUAAAAUUUAAAAGAGCUCUUUAUUCUAGGGCGGCCUAUGUGGGUAAUAUGUCCAGGUGUCUGAUCUGCUCUUCAGAGAGUCUUUCAAAUUUUGGAGCAUAGUGAACAUCAAAUUUGUUUAUGCUUUGACCAUAAAAAAUUGAUUAGCAUUAACUUUUAACUCUUCUGAAUUUGGUUUUGUAGGUUCCUGAAAUGUGCUUUAUAAGUACUUUUAUUGACCUCGACAAGGGAAUAUUGUUUGUAGAGUCACCACGAUGCCAAGUGAAACUGCCAAUCAACUUUAUCACAGAUUCAUGUAAUGGUGGGAGCGAACAAAUUAAGUUAAAUGGCCAAAGGCAAGAUAAUAUUUGUGUAUCUGUCUUUUUAACUGCUUGUUACUCCUUUGUUCUAGAGUGUCAUGGCCUUGUUAGACUUGUUGGAUUGAUGGAAUGUUUAGAUACUAUUACAAUGAUAAUAUAUUUGUUAAUUUGUCGCUGUUUUGAAGUAAUUUAGAAAAUUCCCUUUGUUUACAUUCUAUAAAGGUUUAUUGGUUAACAUUUGGUUUGUUUUUUUGUUCUUUCUUUUUUCUUUUUUUUUGGGGGGGCUUAGAUAUGAAGUACAGAGCUACAAGAAUGAAGUCAAUAUUUGGUUCAGCAAUGCCAUUGGUCGACCAUGCACUUUAUUCCGCUGUUUUAGUUCCAGUCACAACUUUUGCUUGAAUAAGAUCAAAAGUGCAAGCAUGAGAAGAGAGGUGCAGAGCGUGUUGAAUUUUUCCAAUGAAGCUCAGUUCUUAUUGAUAUCUGAGGAAAGCGUGUCUGACCUCAGCCACAGAGUAAGCACAAGUAUGUUCUUACAUUGAACUGUUGCAAGUCAUAUAGCGAAUAAAUUCUUGCACUCUGAUGUGAAACGAUCGAGACUUGCAUGAGCUAUCUUCUGUUCUGAAUACAAUUGCAAUAUGGAUUGAUUUUCCUGUACCCUGGAAUCUUUGAGAAAAUACUUUUUUUCCUAUUGUUUUUUUCCCCCUCAUUGACUAAAUUCCGGCCUAAUACCUUUCUUAUGCCUACCCUAUCACAUUAUAGACAGCCCAAGACCUUUUAGGAAAUUAGUUGAGGAUUUUAAGAAUGGGCUAAGUGUUAUGAUACUUGAUUGCUCCUUAAAAUCAGGCAUGAUUAGCUUUCCAGAGAGUGGAACCUCUUGAUGCAGAGUAAAAGGAAUGUGAAGAUGUCAAGCACUUUUGGUUUGUGGUUACAGCCCCACCAAAAGGUAGCUAGCUGAAGAAUAGAUUCCAAAAUUUUACCAAAGGCCCGAAGUUAGCCACGUGCAGUGAAGUUUCGAUAUUAAAACAAUUGGUGUCUAUGCUCUUUUCAAUUUAGUUGUCAUUUGGUGUAUAAGAAUUGUUUUUCCCCUGAUAUUUAUUGAUUUAAAAGUUUAUGCAACUGAAUGAUUGAUGGCAGAAGAUGUACAAAAAGGUGCUUGUGGAGCAGCAAGCCAAAUAAGUCCAAUGAGAUUUCGGCCCAACAUUGUCAUAUCUGGAGGUGAACCAUAUGCUGAAGAUGGAUGGAAAAUUCUUAAAAUUGGAAAUAAGUACUUCACAGUAAGUUCUAUAACUUGAAUAGAGAAAGUAAUGGAUAAUUUUAGAGAUACACUGGUGUUCCUCUGGAUACUCCAGAGUCUAGAAUAUAGUCCAGAAUAUGUUUUGAAGUUGUGAUUGUUUAUAGUUCUGUGAGAUGCAUUGUUAAUGUAAAAAUGGUUUUUUGCUUCAUGGAACUUGAGUCUAGAGAUGAUAAUUAUAUGUGUAUCUUACAUGAAUUUUUGAAACUUUAUGAAACCAGUUACUGAAUAUAGUAUCAUUUACUUCAUAUGUAAGGAUGGUCUCACUAUUUUUUUUGUUUCCUAGUCCCUGGGUGGAUGCAACCGUUGCCAGAUGAUCAACAUUGUUCAUGACGAAGCUGGACUACUGCAGAAGUCGAAUGAACCUUUGGCCACUCUAGCAUCGUAUAGGAGAAUGAAGGUCAUCCAUUACAGUUAUUAAAAAGUAAUGUUUAUUUUGUUGUCUUUAAUUCUUACUAAUGCAAAUAAAAUCAAAACUUUUGCGGAUUCAGGGAAAGAUUUUUUUCGGGAUACUGCUGAAAUACGAAAGAAGCGAACCAGUAGGGAGGGAUGGUGAUUUGUGGCUUCAAGUGGGGCAAGAUGUACAUCCAAAUGUCUCUUAGCUUCAUGGCAUGUGCAUGGAUCAACACUCCUGCAGAAUCUAACAAAUAAUGUACUUCCAUCUCGGGAAAUUAUAGAAGCUUUCGGAUACAAUUAUGCAUUCCCAAUGACAGAGCUCUCAGAGAUUGGUAUACAUGUUAGUAGUCCAAUUAUAGAACUUGACAACAGUCCUCUACAGAAGCAUUCGACCAAAUUUAUACACACUUUCUCUAUACGGUUGUGGCCUCCCAGAAAAAUGGGAUGACAUUUAUACAUGUUUGAGCUCUUCAGUGCCAAUAUAUAUUGUAUAUCUGUGUGUAACGUAAGUAUUUACUAAAUUCAUAUACUCUGGUUUUGCAGUUCUUGGAAACAUAAAGUUGUUCAUGCUGGCUACAUCUCUUGCCAAUAAUUUUGAAAAUCAACAAUGUAAUAUUUGACAUAUAAUCAGAUUCUCUGCUUCAUUAGUCAUUCAAACCUUCUUUUUUAGAAAGCAAAGUUUAGGGAAAAUUUGGCGUGUCAAAUAGUUGGUCAUCUUUUUGAAUGAGGAUAAUAGACGACGGUUUUCAUCUUCCACCUGUGCCUUCUUUCAAGUUUCAACCUGAACUUUGUAGCAAGUGUUGCAUAAUAAAGUACUACGCCGUGUUUGGGUAAAAAGAUUUCGAUCUGAACUUUUUGGUCAAAGUAAAAAGGAAGAAUUUCGAAAAUUAAUGAUAAUAUGGUAAUUCCAUCAUCGUACUUUCGACCUAUUUAGUUUCAUCUCAGGUGCAGCACAUUCCCAUCUUUUAAAUUUGUUUUAAUAGUUUUUAUUUUUAUUUUUAAAAAUAAUGUAAUAUAUUUCCUUUACCUCUUCCUCAGCUCUCUCUCAUCUACAAUCUCAACCCUUAAUUAAUGAGAGGAAACACAUGUAAGUUAGGUCGUUUGUUUCCUUGCACCUAAGUUCAAUCCUCCUCAACCGUAAAUUAGAAUAAUUUUGGAUACCAAAUUGUCAAAACAAAAAAAAAAAAGUAAGGAGAAGAAAUGCUUUUUCUGAAUUUAUGAGAACAAGUCUCUAAAGAUCAGUUAAGCUCAACAAUACAAUUCAACUCUUAGGAGAAUUAUUUCAACGGCAUGUCACACACGCAUAAUAGCACACCCCAGCUGUCUAAAGAACCCAAAAAAGGACCAAUUAAUUAAAAAGAUAAAUAAACAAAACUGAAAUAAUGCAAAUAUGAAAGCAGCCGAAGUCUCUGACCAAAACAAAAGCAGCUGAACUUAACCCGGAAUGUUCCUGUUUAGACUUUAGACUUUGAGAAAUGCUAACAACUUUCUCUUUAACCUUCUCUUUUGGACCUUCUCUCUUCUCCUCAUGACAAGUGUCAUUUUCCUUACACUUAAAACAAUGUCAUUAAUGCAUCAAACAAGUUAGUUUUUGUUUUCCAAAUUUACCCUUUAAAAAUGUAUUGACUUUUAUAUUUCCUUCAAUUUAUUCAAAUUUUGUUACAACUAUUUUAGCACAUUGUUAAAAAUUAAAUAAGAAAAAAACAUAAGAAAAACGUCAUUUUUUAGAAUAUAAAAAAAAUAAAAUUUGUUACAUGACAUUGUUAUCAUCUUUAUUUUGUUUUUAACAAAACACACAUUCUCUUUGGAAUUUUUUUUUUAAAAAAAACUUCAGUUUUUAUAUUCUUAUUUAAUUUUUUAACAAGGUGAUAAGAAAGUUGUAAAACAAUUAGCUUGUUAUUAAAAUAAGUUAAUACAUUUAAUAAGGGUAAAUUUGGAAAACAAAAAUUAGUUUGUGUGAUGCAUUAAUGACAUUGUUUUAAGUGUAAGGAAAGUGACACUAGUUAUGAGAAGAAGAGAGAAGGUCCAAAGGAGAAGGCUAAAGAGAAGGUUGCUAGCACUCCCCUUUUUGGGUUUCUUUUUGUUAAAUUCCAGAUACACGGGUUAGCGAUCCACUACUAGCAACAUCUAUAUUGUCCCCAACUUAAUCACCUAUAAAGUCCAGUAUGUGUGAAAUUUUAUCACAAAAGACUUCGAUGAUAUUAGUAGUAUAACUAUUCAUUAUAUCUUGUAUUUAAUUUAGUCAAGUUCCGAUGUGAGACUUAUAUUCUUCAACACUUUUGACAUGGUUUUUGUGGCUCUCUGCUAGUACAAAACUCAGUUCAAUUUUAAUUCAAAUUUUCAAACAUCAAAAGCAUCAAAUAAUACAUGUUUUGUCACUACGAGAUCUAGCCCAAUGAAAAAAAACCUUGACGUGUAGACCAAUCAGGCUCGAAUCUCCAUGAGAUCUUGGUAAUGUGUGUGAGAAAACUCUUCCCCUUGCUUUAUAAUUUAGACUAUCGCUUGUAUUAAAAAAAUAAAAAUAUAUGUUUUGUCUUAAUUGACUUGGUAACUAAGCAACUAGGCUUAGAGUACUAUUUUUGCUCCUUGGUCCUUGCUCAACUAACUAGGUUUUAAUUUUGCCUUGUCUAUAUUGUCUUGUCUAUACGCGUGGACUUGUUCUUAUAUAUUGUUCUAUUUUUCUCAUGGCUGCUACAUGCUAUUUCUUUAAGUAGGUUCUUAACUUUUUUUUCCCCUUUAAAACCAGUAAAUUCCUUUCUCUUAAUCUUAAUUAUAAUUAGGUUAAGUUGACCUCCAUCCCUCCGUGUCGAUGGCUGUAGUGACUGCUCCAUCAUUCUACUUUGUUUCUAAUUUUUUAUUGUUCUUCUGUAUUUUAAUGCAUAUAAUUAUUUUAUAGCAUUGUCUUACUCGCAAGCUAUAUGUACUAAUUAAUCUUUUUUUGUGUGUGCUAAAGUUGUAUUAAUUAAUCAUUGCGGUGCACACAUGACCUGGCAUUAACAACAUAUUUUGCCUGAUAGAAAUCUAAUAGAAAGAAAAAAAAAUCCUGCAAGUUGAGCAUAUACAAGUAGAAUUUCCAAGAUUCCGAUCACACCUAUAUAUAUAUAUAUAUAUAUAUAUAUUUCAUUAAGGGAUCUUCAAAUAUCAUCUCUACAAAAAAUUACUUGAAUCCGAUAUCAUUUGACCACUCAAUUGGAUUAUUGAAAUUUUAGUACUUUCUUGAAGCACCGUGUUCAUUGAUUUUGUAGAGCACAAUUGAAUGUCGAAACGGUUUUUGAUUUGUCUAAUUUUUGGCAAGAAUGAUCUAUAAAUAUUGACUUAAAAAAUAAAUGGUUUGGAUUGUUGAAAGAAAAAAAAAUCGUAGAGAACCCUAAAGGGUGUCCCUUAAAUAAAACUAUUUGAAGAAUUCCUGGAUAAAAAGGGACCAUAUAUAUAUAUAUAUAUUUCUUUCUUUCUUUCUUUCUUUCUUUUGUUUGUUUGUUUUUGUUGGUUCUUUUCCUCUCUUUUUUUAUAAUUAUCCUUUAGAUCCUCUGAGAAAUUAUGUGAAUUUCCGAAAAUGAUAUAAUAUGAGCAAGUGAUGUUUAGUGAAUUAACUACAAAAGCCAUCGAUUUUUGAGGGUCGGAAAUAAAUUCUUGUCCACAAUAGAUUUCAGAAUGAUACAUGAUGGAGACAGUUUCAUUUAUUUUAUUUUAGUUUAGUCUUAGAAUAGCCGACAGUUUCAUUUAUUUAUUUAAAUGUACAUCUGUUUACAUACUUCACAAUAAUAUUAUAUCUUAAUAAAGUGUAUAUAAUAGUGAAAACAAUUAUGCAUGAUUUUAUUAUAUUUAAAUCGAAACAAUUAUGCCGACCAGUUUAUGAUUUCAUGUUUAUAUAUUCAUAAACUGGUCGAAUUGAAAUUUACUUCGAUCCGUUUUUAGAGGGUGUAGGACCAAAUGUCUCACUGCCACCGUACGGUGGCUGUUAGGCUUCUAGAUUAAUUCUUCGAUUGACAAUUUAAUUAAAUGGUAAUUCGUGUCUUAAUAUGUCUAGGCUUCACGAUUUCACGUCAAAAAUAAGGUCAGAAACUCGUUGGCCAUGGCAAAGUCAAGAGACUCAAAACCUAUCAUUUUCUAAUAGGGGUCAUAUCUUGUUUACGAUACUAUACAGAUACUAUACAAAGGAAGAUAUAUACCAUUCAAUUUUUCAUGUAUAACAUAUUGAAGAGGACUAAGGGCUAGUUUGAUAUUGUUGUGCUGUGAAAAUAAUCGCUGUCAGAUUUGCUGUGAGAGAAAACAGUUUGGCGUUCGGUAAACUUUUUGUUAAAAGUGUUGUUGGUACUAAUUCCUGCAUAAUCAAAAAAUAAUUCUUGCAUAAUCAUUAAACUCAGCACCUCUUCGAAACUGAUUCUCGCAUAAUUAGAAAAUGAAAGCACAUCAUUAGCUGCUUUCCCUUAUAGCUUUCUCUCACAACAAUUUUUAAUAAUAAGUAAUUUUCUCAUAGUUUACCAAACGGAUUGAGCUUCCCAAAAAAUUUUAAAAAUCACUUAUCACCCCAAAUAAGCAAUGCCAAACGGGCACUAAGAUUCUCACCAUGCUUCAAGCGAGUACAUGAAAUUCAACAAUUUAUUGUCUUGAUCAACUACGAAAGAAGAUUCGAAAUUGUACGACUUUUGUUUAAUAUUGGAAAAAAAAAAUACCAUUAGACCUUAAAUAUUUUAUCAUGUACUAAAACUACUUGGUCAACAAUUAAUAGGCCCCAUAUCGUAAACUUACAUACUUUAAGAAUAUUUAUCAUAUUAGCAUCAAUAUUUUUAUCAAAAGGUACAUGGUAAAAAUGUGUCUUUUGAAUUUAGAAAAGAGAUAUUUCGAAUUUAAAAUUUAUUACGAAAUCGAAAAGAUAAAAAAGACUAGACUAAAGUUACUAUAAUAAGUUUAUUGCCGAUUAUUUAGGAUAAUUUUGACAAUUCAUCCCUUUGAAAUGGGAUUCAAAUGUAAAUCACCUCCUACUCUUCUAGAAAUUCCUUUAUCUAUGUAUUUUAUAUUGUAAAUUUCACAGGAAAAUGCAAUUAAUGCAUGUGUUUCUUUGAAAACGGACAAAGAAAAAUGAUAAGGUCAAUUCAAUGGCCCGAUGAAAAGGGAAGCAAUUAUCUUAGAUGGGUUUGUUUGUAGACUUUGGAUUAGCAAUAUAUUAUUUUAGUAAGAAUAUGAUAAUCCAUUUGUCCUAAAUUCAAAAACACGUGGUUGAGUUGAGUGAAUCCAUCUAUUUUGUCAUUUUCGUUGUCUUCCACUUGUUAUUCUACAUGUUGGAAAACUUGGAAUUUGGAUCCAAUCAUAUGGGUUUUGUUUGCGUAUCUCACUCCCUAACUCCGUUAAGAUGGGCACCAGUGUUUCUGUCGUUCAGUUUGUUUUAUAAGACUGAUAUGUAUUAUGACCUAAUCACAUGCAUAUCUAAUUAGAGUUUUUCUAUUUAAACCUCGUACUUUUCUAUGUUCAUCUUAUUAAAAAGAAGUCAUCUAAUACUUAACCCUAAUACAUAUAUACAUACAUCCCACCACUCUUCAUAUUAAGUUGUAAGUAUCUAAAGAGAACCUAGAGUGAACUUUUUUAUGGUAACCGGAGUUGUGGGGUGUGGGGUGUGGGGUGUGAGUUGUAAAACUUUUCCCUAAAGAUCUAAUGUGUAUCACAACAAAUUCUGAUAUUCUAAGAUUCUCAUUUAUGCAUUUUUUUCUCUCUUGUAGACAAUCUAAUGCUGAACAUUAUAAAGCUGUUGUUAAACAAGACAACAACCCUCCAUAUAGGAAAUUUUGUGGAUCAUCCAAGAAGUUGGUUUUCUGUUGUUCAUCUCUCACAAAUGCAGAGAGGGUAAAGAGCUGCUUAGAGUGUUUGCUUUGUUCCUUGUUUCUUUCUUUUCCUUUAAGAAACUUAAAUUGUCUGAAGAAUUCCAUUACUCCUGGUUGGCUUGAACUGCAAGAAUCUGUUUCUGGAUUUGAAAGAUUAUCUAGACUUGCAGUUUUAGUGGGGUGUGGGGUGUGGCUGUGAGGUUGAUGAGUUUUUUUGGGGGUGUGUGUGUUCUGAUGGGUGUGUAUUUAGGGGUAGUUUGGGAAGAUAGUGCGGUUUGCUUAAAAAUUUUGAAAUUUUGAAUUAGAAAUUGGGGUGAACUUAGAAUAUGGGGUGAACAAAGAGAAGUAUGGGUUUUAAAUAGAAAAACUUUCUAAUUAUAGGGAAUUAAUCAUUUUAUCAUGAAGAACGUAAACUAAUUCUAUACUGCCUCGUUUCAUGUGCAAUCAAGGCAUAAUAUGGAUAUUCUUGUCUAACUUGGAGGAUGACGAAAGACUAUUCAUAAGAGGUUGAUGACUAAAACUUAUCCCUCAUAAAUUAGCUUUGGAAUCAAUGGCCCGUUUAAGUUUAGUGAUAAUUUUGUCUUAUAGUAAGUUGGAAGAAGUCUCAGGUCUAACUCAUAUGAAUGUAAGGACAAUAUAUAUUUGUGAUGAGUUUGAUACCUCAUUGUGAUUGGACUUAUUAUGACAACGUGAUUUUGUUGUGGGUGUAUUAUUUUGUUGUAAAAAUAUCUAAAUAUCCUAUCGUUUUAUAGUGUAAUUUAUCCUAAAUUUCUAGAGCCAAACUAAUGCAUCUCAUCGCCGUGAGAUUCUCACGUUCUAAUUUGCAAUUUAUCAAUUGGGUAAUGGAAGCAAUUUUUAAGAACAAAGUGCUAUAACGAGUUAAGAGUUCUAUGGAUCUCAAGAUCUUAAUGUGCAUGUUGAAUACUAUUUUGUACCUCCAGAAGUCUUUCAUUAAUUGGUCCGUUAAUAUAUAUUUUUCAGCAUAAGUGAUGGUCUAAAUUAAAAGGGAGGAAGUUUCUCACAUACAAACACAAAUUGAUGCCAUGAGAUUCAAACUUGAGAAUUCUAUUCUGCAAGUCAAGAUCCUUUUUCAUUGAGUUAGACCAUUUACAAUUCAUCCAUUAUUAUUCUAACUAGAAUCCAAGCAGUCCCCCAUUUUGCACUUCCCCCCAUCUUAAUCUGCCCUUGAGUGUGGUUCUCGUUUUUGCCUUUUUUGGACUGGGAUCUCUUCCAUCCAUAAUAAUUAAUAGACGCUUUUGACCACAUAAAUAUUGAAGCAAAAUAUAUACUUCAUAAAUAAAAAAAUUUGGAAAGCCGUGCAAAUCAUGGGCCACAUUAACCUAGAUAACACUGUGUGUCUCAAUGAUAUAGAACUGCAUAAUUUUCAUAUGCAGAUGUACAAAUAAUUCAAAUCCCUUGUGCCAUCGAAUUAUAAUUGAUUUGUUUAUACAUAAAGGAAGCCUUUAUGAGGACCGAAAAUGUGAUCUCCAUAUGUUCUUGGACACGCAAAACUUCUUUGCACAAAUCAAUAACCCACAAACUGUUGUGUGCCCUUUAUGCAAGGUAAUGUAUAUUAUAUGACAAUUAAUAUUUGUAUCCUACCAUCGCUUUCAAAAAUGAAAAUAUUUGUAUGAAACUUAUGCAAUAAGAAAAAAAUGGGUCUUAAUUGCACUUUUUAAAAUGACUAAAAAUUUACAUACUGCGUGAUGAGUGUUAUAAUCGUACAAAUGUAUUGUACAAGUUGAUGUAUGUGAGUUUUACUUUUUUUUUAAAAAAAACAAAAUUGUACUUAUCAAUGUACUAUAUGGAUUGAUGCAUGUCGCAAAAUUAUGUUUGUUUAUAGGUACAAAUUUUUGUGUUUUGGUUUUACGGCAUGCAUAGGGACGGGGUUACUUUAUCAUGGGCUCUAUUUCAACCUAAUCGUUUUUGCGAGAAGGAUGUAAGUUGAUUGAUCUGAUGAUCAAAGUGUAGAGUGGCUCGUCUAAUCCUUUUGGCUUUUGCCUGAUGCGAUUAUACUUUGUUACUUUGAUAUCAAUAAAUUUCUAUCGGUUCAAAACCUAAAAAAAAACCUAUAAAUGUUUAACGUUUCUCUCUAGUUGUAUCUGGCCUUGUUAUGAUGCCUUGAAAUUCCUAAAUGAGUUGAAGGGAGUGGAUACAUUACACAUAUAUGGCACUGACUGAGACUAUACAUCUAACAACUGGUAUAGCAAGAUAAAGUCGUAAACGGCGACCUAGAACCAAAAUGGUUCAAGACUUCUGGCCUGCCAGAGUCAACCUUUAUGACUUGACCUAAUAAAACUAAGUUUUUAUGACUUUCUUCACCUUAUAAAUAACACAAAGGCCUAUGACCCUUCAGCUUAAUUAUCGAACCUUCUCUUGCACUUGCACCCAUAUUUCAAAACUGCUAUAGACCAUCGCUUCUGCACUGAGGUUACAUAACAGAGCACAACAAAAUUGAUUGAGGAGCUAAGCUAGAGUUGGAAGAAGAUCACAAAAUCAUGGACAGCAACUACACCAGCAGUAAGGAUGAUCAUCAAUAUAUUGAUGAAGAUGAUGUUCAACUUCCAGGAUUUCGGUUUCACCCGACAGAUGAAGAACUUGUGGAGUUCUAUCUUCACCGGAAGGUUGAGAAGAAAGCAAUCAGCAUAGAGCUCAUCAAAUCCAUUGACAUCUACAAGCAUGAUCCUUGGGAUCUUCCAAGUAUGCAUACAUAUAUAUAUGUCCCUAUAAUGAAUUUUUACUUUCCCAUGAAUUUUUACUUUCCCUCUUUUUUAUUCUCUGGUAUAUCCUUAAUUGGAAGAAGAAGGAGACAAGAAGAUAGCUAGGGUUAAAUUGCUUCAAAAACUCAAAGGAUACUGAGCAAAAGUUGGCCUAGAAUAUAUAUUGGUUGCACUGGUUCCCAGUACUAGCUAGUUCUUUAUUUCUAAUUUAACUACUAUAUAUAGUUUAUACUAUCAAGAAAAAUUACUUUAGAAUAUAAAAUAUAUGAUCAGCAAACAAUUUCUGUAACCCUUUUAGUUUUUCCAUGUAUUGCUAUAAACCUAGCUCUACUAUAAGUGCCGCAGCUAGCUCCAACUAUAGAUCUUGUUCUUACAAACAUAUGGGUCAAUUAAUUUGUGAUUAACUUCAAUAUUAUGUGUGUAUGCGCAGAAGCGAUAAAUACAGCAGGAGAGAAGGAAUGGUACUUCUUCUGCAAAAGAGGGAGAAAGUACAAGAACAGCAUCAGACCCAACAGAGUUACAGGCUCUGGAUUUUGGAAGGCAACUGGGAUUGACAAGCCGAUACAUUCCCAUGGAGGACAAGGCCAUGCCUGCAUUGGCCUCAAGAAAACAUUGGUUUACUACCGUGGAAGUGCAGGCAAAGGCACCAAAACCGAUUGGAUGAUGCACGAAUUUCGCCUUCCCAAUCCGGCCAGUUCUAAUGAAUACAUUCACCGCAGCUCCAACACUAAGAACAUCAGUAGUACUGAUCCUCAACAAGAAGCUGUAAGUGAAAAAUCUGCGUCCUAGUUUCCUAUACCCUUUUAUUUUUCAAAUUAAUUACAAUUUUGUUCAUGUGCGAAAUGUCACUGUCUGAUAAGAUAAGAUGCUUGCUAGGCUGUGAAUCCCUAAAUUAUUGUUCAUUUUUUAUUUUGCCUAAAUACGUGUUCCAAAUUCAUAAUCUAGCAACAUAAAGAAUUUGUCCGCCAAUAUAAGUCAGGCAUAAAUUAAAAAACGUUUCUUAUGCAUUUCGCAUCUCACAUUAGUACUUUUCAUAAUUUAUCAAGAAAGUACUAGGGCUAGCCAGGCUGAAAUUAACCUUAACCAUAAACAAGUCAUGAUGUCAAAGUAAACUCAUAAUAAUCCAUGACCUACAGUAGCUAAAUAAAAUUUUCCUUUCCCAUUUGACCAUAUAUAAAGGCUUAUGUUCUGAUGGAUGCAAUGGUUCACUUGUUUCAGGAAAUAUGGACAUUAUGCCGGAUAUUCAAGAGAAAUGUCUCGUACAAAAAAUAUACAGCAGAUUGUAGAGGGCUAUCCGGAGCUAAACGCCAUCCAAUGGACACAGUGAGCUCCAAGAAAUGCACAAGUGAUCAAGAUGACCUAGAUCAGUCUAACAAUUACAUCAGUUUUGGUACUUCAGACAAUAUUAUUUGCUACGAAGAGAAGAAGCCUGUUGUGAACCAUACCAACAUGAACAACUUCAAUGGAAGCAACCAGCAGCUGCAUGCAGUAGGCCAGUUGAGCUCCAACAUGCCUGCUACAUAUCCGUACAUGGAGACUUUCUCAAACUUUUCGUAUCAAGAUCUUGAGAAUGAGCUUUUGAAUGAGAACUGGGAUGAGCUUAGAUCCGCCGCCGUCCAUCUUGCUUUUGAUCCAACGUUUCUGGUGUAAAUGGAAUAAUUAAUGUUGCAGUGGGGGAGUGCUAGAGUGUAGGAGUUCAUGUUUUGACGAACUGAUAUAUUUAAUUUUAUCUUGUUGCCUUGUUUAUAAAAUUUGGAUGUAUUCUAAUAUUGUAUGAAUUAAUUCCUACAUAUAGAAUCUAGCGCACAUGCAAUCUGAGGGCUUUUGAGAAAAUGUUGAAGGUCGUCAGGGGGGCUGCUGCAAAUUAAAAGAGCCAGGUUGUUCAUGUCGCUUGAAGCUUCAACAUUUGGAAAACCUUUUUAUAUAUAUAUUUUAUUAAUUCUUGGUUACAUACAUAAACGUGCAAGAACUCAAUCUAAGGCUCAACUCAAGGUCUUAUUUUAUGUCGUUCAAGUACAUCGAAGAAAAUCAAACCUUACUAAUUUAGGUCGUGUUAGCAUGAUUCAUUUAAAUUAGGCUCAGUUCAGCUGUGCUCUUGAAUUAUUUUAUAUGAAGACCCUGGGGAAUUAAACUAGAACACAUGCAUAAUUACUAGACAUUAUAAACAUUAACAAGAACUGCCUCAAGCCAAUGGAGUUUCGCCCAAUGAAAAAAGGCCUUGAUUUGCAUAUCGAAGGUCUCAAGUUUGAAUACCUCGACAUCAUAGUUGUGUAAGUAUGUGUGAAAAUUCCCUUUAUAUAAUUUUAGACUAUCACUUGUACUUUAAAAAAAAAAAACAAAGACUGUUUCAAACCCUCAAUUCUUAAGCAAAAGUAAAACAAAAAAUUUGGUGAGUAAAUGAGUGUUGCAUUGAAAUUGCUAGACUCUAUAAUAUAAUUUGUGGGAACUUUUUUUAUGAAAAACAAAAACAAAAACAAAAAAUAUCUCAUGAAUGCAUGAAGAGCAGAUGAUUAUCCCACUUUAACGGUUUGUUUAGCUAGGGUUCUACGGCUCCCAUCUCAUCCUUAUUGAGAAUUGACAUUUUAAACUAAAAAAAAUUCAAGAACAAGAAUGUGAAAUAUCAGUUGUAUAGGAUUCGUUGGAUUAAGAUCAUCACAUAUAUAUAUAUAUAUGAUCAGAAGUUACUCUCAUUAAUAUUUUUCAAUUUUCGCCUAUCGAGUUUCCUUAGAGCACAAAAAGAACAAGUACUCUUUCAAAUUGCUUUGUAAUUUAAAUAUACACAUAACGUUCGAUUUUUUUCAAUUUAUUUCUUCAAAUUGUUUCAACUAUCUAUUUACAUGUACUAUCUAAUAUUAUCUAAUGAAGAGGUGCUAUACCUAUAUGGGUUCCAUCUCUAGAAAUAUAAAGGGACAUAAAAUCGUCUCUAUUGUCAUUAUACCAGUGUUUUCAGGAAGGAAUAGCAUAACGUCAUAUAUUGCAAAAAUAAAGUACAUAAUCUACCAUUAGGCACGAAUGAUAAGAAACAAUGCUAAAAUCACUCUACGAUGAUAUAAUAUAAAAAUGUGAGACCCAUUGUAAUAAUUAGGCACGUAGAUACAUUUUUAGUGUCAUAUUAACAAUAGGGGACCAAGUACGAACUCAUAAAAGUCUCUAAUACUACAAUAAACACUAUCUUCCAUACCAAUAGAACACAAAGGGGAUUGAUAGAACUCAAUGUCUUCUAAUCGUUUACCUAGUAUAUAUUUGAGAAUUCAAUAGAUUCUAGAUAAGUUUGAUUCAAUGAGUAUUGAGAAGUGGACACACUUAUUAGUAGCUUUAGACCCAAAACCAAUUGAAAAUCCAUCUAAAACUCGCACUUCAUUUUCGAAAUCAUAUGUUUUGUUUCGGAACCGAAUGAACAAAAAAGGGUGGCAAAAACACGAGGUUUGUUUUGUCAAGGCUUUGGGCUCACUUGUUCAAAAUCCAAUGAGUUUCAAGCCCAAAUGGAGUUCCAUUUUCAACCCAUUACCACUUACCAAUCCAAACCCGAAGACCCACUGACCCAAAAAGCAAUGAGGAAGAAUUGAAGAAUUGCAUACAAGCAGCAAUUGAAGAAUUGAACAAGUCACGGAGUGGACCAGACUGUUAAUGUUGAUGUGAAGAGGAAGAAGAAAGAGAGAGACGGAGGAGGAGGUCGCGUGGGUCUGGUGCUCCGGUGAGUUUCCUUUGCCGGAUCUAAAACGAUGUCGUUCCAUUCCAGUAAAACUUGUAUAUGAUGGUUUUUAUUUGAAAGAAAAGAUGUAUUUAGUAGAAUUGACCACAAAUGAAGCAUUGAAGCAAAGCUUUUUUUAAGAACCCAGAAAAUUAUUCUGGGCUUUUAGACAAAUUACAUAUGCAAUUCUUGCCCGGAUUGGUUUUUGUAAUAUUAGAAAAGAUAACUGAUGAUGUAUUGAUAUGCAAUGGAGAAGUCAAGAUCUUGCAAUGGUCAAAGUUGAGAGCUUUAGACGCUUAACCAAUCUGUGAUUUUAUGUUCAGAUGUUAAAGCACUAUUGGGUCGCUUUCUUUGUGGUGGUUUCAUGGGUCGUCAACUUCAGAGUUUUAGAUGCCAGUGCUGGUGAUGCUGAUCCACUUUAUAGGUAAGUGUUUUUUUCUUCUUUAGAUAUUUUCCUAUAGCUUUGUACUGCUAUUUCUCUAGCUUUCUUUGUGCUCUUUUGCCACAGCUACAUGUAUUGUUUUUGAGGUUUUUGUAAUAAUUCCUCAUUGUUUUGCUUAAAAGACUCUAUAUUUUCACCUCUUACCGAGGUUUUCUGUAGCCUACUCAGGCUUUCUUGCCCUGAGUCAGCCAAAGGACUGAAAUUUCAGCUGAAGGGCUAUCUUGCUCCUCUUCACUUGAAGUUCAAAUGGAAAGGGGCGGUUGUCAUCCACACCACUCAAGAGUGUGGGGCCCACAUUUGGAUGCUCCCCAUUCACUAGCAAUUAGCGCUCCUUAUUUGAAGUUCAAUAUAGAGAGCAUUCUUUUCCCUUGAGUUUUUGUGCUUGCAAUUCUAGAUGGUAACUCACUAAUCAAUAAUUUGGUGGAAGAAUUAAUACACAAUGAGGAUUCUUUGCUUGAAAAAGCUGCUCAUCAAACUAACUUACCAAUCCUUUGUGUGACAUAAUUCUUAUCGACACACUUGCAAUUCUUUUUUCCUUUCUAUUUCUAUUGCUACAAUGGCAUUUCCCCUCCCUAUUAUUACCCAAGCUUUAGGGAUCUUAAAUCACGCCAACCUUAGGGACAGGGUACAUGCCAUCAGAUCCAUAGGUCCUUGACUGCAUGCACUCUGGGUUGCUCGAAUUACAAUAUAUUUGCUUUUGGUCUUAUAGUUACAUACGGGUUACAUGUUUGUAAACAAAUUAAAAUAGGAACCUACUGAGUUUCUAAAUGGGAAAAGUUGUAUCUGAACUUUCCUUCCAAAUUCUGGUCUUCAAUAACCAUAGCAAGUAGGCAUGGAGCUUAUAUGUGAUUGCAGAACUAGCACCUAAAUGUUCUUUUCAUGUCAAAUAAACAGCGUUAUAACAAUUAUAGGGUUUUAUACCAUAGGUAUUUAUAUCUUUGUAAUCUGUGCUCUACAUUCUGACAAAGUGCAUUCUACAUAAUUAUGUUGGAAAACCUUAGUGGUCUGAAAAAUUAAUGGAAACAGGGUUAUGCCCUCUCAAGCAUUUAAGAGCAUCCUUGUAAGGAAAUCUCAAAAUUUUUUUGAAUUUGUAUUUACUAUAAAUCAAUCACAAUAACCAUUCAAUGAGGCUGCACAAGCCUGACUUAGGGUGAUCAAUCACCCAUAUGGAAUACACAGAUGAACAUGCCAUUUAUAUAGAGUUAGCUCACAACCUUUAUUCACAAACAAAAACGAAUCAAACAAUUAUUUGUUCAUUAAGUAAUGUACAAACAUAGCAAUCUUUUAUCUUAUGGAAUAAAUCUGUAUCUUGCGUCUCCUUGUCAGCUGGCUAGCUAACAAAUGUUAACAAUUAAUUUUUGUUAUGUGAACAGGCUUUCUUCAUUUGUGUCACCUAUGAAUCAAUAACCAUGUGUGGUAUGGUGUUUUUGUUAAAAAGUUCACCUAUCAGCCCCGUUUUAUAAUGUUAAAAUAGAGGAAUUUCCCAUUGCAACUGCUAUCUAUUUGGAACUAUGUAAAUUCUUAAAAUUCCUCUCUUGAAGUUGCUUUUUGAUAAGUACCUCUCUUGAAAGUAAUCUGUAAUAAUUUGUUCAUGGCUAAGUUGUAUAAGUUCCUCGAGUGCAGAUUCUUGUAAUUUAUUUGGUGGAAUCAACAUUUUGGGCCAUGUUGUAAAAUGAAUUAAUUUUGGUCAUUUUGCCUACACUUGUAACCUGUCAUGUAUAUUUAACAUUGUGAAGUUGGAAUCUUUUUAUAUAGUUAAUUGCAAUUUUAGGGCUUGUAUAAAACAAUGUGGAGAAACCGGAUGUGUAGCGCAGAGAUGCUUUCCACAGUGCAAUUUCUCUUCUGACGGGGUCUCCGUUGAUGGUCCAUGGUACAUGCAAGAACCUCUUUAUAUGCAGUGGAAACAAUGGGAUUGCCAAAGUGAUUGCCGUUACUAUUGUAUGCUUGACAGAGAGAACAAAAGAGAAGCAACUGGUCAUGAUCCAGUCAAAUAUCAUGGUAAAUGGCCCUUCAAGCGUGUUUACGGGAUCCAGGUUUGCUUUUUUGGGAGGCUAUAUGCCUUGGCCACAUUUUCUUUUACAAUAGCUUUAAUGUUAUCAUGGUUUGUGCUAUUUGACAUGUUAUCCAUUUAUUUAGGAGCCUGCUUCUGUAGCUUUCUCUGUGCUCAACCUUGCAAUGCAUUUCCAUGGUUGGAUAUCCUUUUUCAUCCUUUUAUACUAUAAGUUGCCUUUGAGACGGGAUAAGAAGACAUACUAUUACUUUGCCAGUUUGUGGCACAUCUAUGCUCUCUUAUCAUUUAACUCCUGGUUCUGGAGUGCUGUGUUCCAUAGUAGGUAAGCUUUGCUCUUUCCUUCUGUAUUUUUUCUGAUGUGGGAAUGAAUAUCUGCAUGCUGUUUUCUGUUUUUAUUAAGGUUAUAUCUUAUUUAUAUGAAGUACAUUGCAAGAUAUGUGUGCUUUUACUAUGCUUUCAGACUCUCAUUCUAGGUCCAAGGUUUAGUUGGGGUCAUGGGCACUAAAACUUCAACGUUUGAAGGNNNNNNNNNNNNNNNNNNNNNNNNNNNNNNNNNNNNNNNNNNNNNNNNNNNNNNNNNNNNNNNNNNNNNNNNNNNNNNNNNNNNNNNNNNNNNNNNNNNNCUUGGGUACUCGCUCAUUCUGUCCAUACUAAGAAGUUUUGAUGUGAAGGAUGAUGCUGUCAGAGUGAUGGUUGCUGCUCCACUGCUGGCUUUUGUAACCACCCACAUAUUGUAUCUCAACUUUUACAAACUGGAUUACGGUAUGACCUUGUACUAAUUUUUUUUUUCUUUUUCGUUAACAUAUAUAGUUGGAGAGAGAGAGAGAGCAGUGACCUAUAUAUAGUUUAUUUACUUGAAUAGCAGUGACCGUGGAUCACAUAGGUGCUACGCUACCUGUUACUCCAAGAAUGUAAGCUAGUAGGAAGUGACAAGUGCUGGAUGAUAUCUGUUUCUCAACAUUCAAACUGACCAUGCCCGUGAAUUAAUUUUUUAUAUUAGAUGGAAAGUCUUUAUAUUGGACAUGAAAUAUCUUGCUUUGAUUUCACUAUAGAUCACUGAUUAUCCUAGAAAGUUGAAGUGUUAGGAAAUGCAUAAUUUCCUUUAUUUGGACAACUGAUGGGUUGUCUUCUCUCUUUCUGUGACAUAAUUUCCUAGUUUUCAUGAUAACAAUCUGACUUAAUUAAUCAACACAUUGCAGGGUGGAACAUGCAAGUUUGUGUUGUCAUGGCAGUAGUACAACUUCUUGUUUGGGCGAUUUGGGCUGGUGUCACUCGCCAUCCAUCACGUUGGAAGCUGUGGCUGGUAGUAGUGGCAGGUGGCCUUGCAAUGCUCCUAGAAAUUUAUGAUUUCCCUCCAUAUCAAGGGUUUGUGGAUGCUCAUGCGGCCUGGCACGCCACCACUAUUCCCCUAACUUACGUUUGGUGGAGUUUCAUCAGAGAUGAUGCCGAGUUCCUAACCUCGAACCAAAUGAAGAGGAUGAAAACCUCUAACCUUGCAAAGAAGGCAAAAUAGUUGUUUCUAUAUGGUAUGACCCUGUGAUGCUUGAGCACGUAGCCCUUGUCUCCAUUAGCUACUGGAAAUUGCAGUUUCCCCCCUUUUUCUUCAGUCUAUCUGUAUUGCAAAUUGUGACAGUUGCGCUAGGGUACUGAUGCACAAAAAAGACCAUCAGAAGACCUUUAUUUAUUUAUUUAUAUUUUAUUUAUCUCAUCUUUUAGCAAUACUUCACCUAUUCACAAUAAAUGGUCACUCCAUCUAUCGCCAGCAACACAACCAGAUUAAGAAAUGAACAUUGAAACCUUAACCAGCAACAUAGCACAUAAGCUAAAGUGGGAAAAAUGCAUUCAGACCCACACACACACACAAAAAAAAAAAAAAAAAACCAAGAAAUCUUGAAAUUGUGAAAAAACAAAACAAUAAAUACCAAAGAGAGAAAAAAUUCUAAUUUCUCACUCUUCCAUUGAAGACAAAUUACUUCAUAUUUAAAAUUUAGUGGGUUUUGGGUUAAGGUUGGCAUUCAUAAUUCUUUUCAUUUUUCUUGGAUUGCUUGAAGUUGUUUGGGUGCUCUGAUCUUAUUUGCCUGGAGUUCGAUCAUAUCUUAUCUCGACCUAUUUUCAUGGUUAAUAUCUUUAUAUUUAACACCAAACAACAAAUAUAAAAAGAGUUUUAGUACAAAAACAAGACAGUCUCGUAAAUUGUAGAAGGAAAAUUAGAGAGAGAAAAAGAAUUAGGGAAGGAACAGAUGGACGAUCACUCAAAUUUUAGGGAAAACUUGCAGAGAAGGGAAAAGAAGAAGGAAAAAGAACACUUAGACAUGUUAGAGACGUUAGGUUGGAGUAAUUGGAGUUAGUCAACUUAUGGUGAUUUAUUUUUAUUUUUUAAUUAAGUGUAAAUUGGGUUUUUUAUUUUGUGGAUGAUGUGUCCGGCUUACAUCCCUUAGAUUAAAUUUUAAUGAGGUAUCAUGUGGAGAACGAAAGUAAAGUAGAUCAUAACAGAGAAAAUCAUAGCAGAGGAUUCGGAUCCUUAUAACAUAUGUAUUAGGUUUAAAUGCACCAUCGUAUUAUAAUUUGAAUGAACUUUUAACAUUAUGUAAAUCUGUUGCGCAAUGUUACUAUUACACCUAAAAAUUACUCGUUGAUAACGUUUGAAUGUGAACUUUCCCCUUUUUUAGAGUUUUUGCUGUGUUUACCUCCAUUGAAAAUAGAUUAAAUCAAUCAUUUAAGUUGAGUUUAUUUUAUUAACUUUGUGUUGGCCUUGACAAGUUGAAAAUUUCAAGAUUAUUUUCAAUCUCAAGACGAGUUUCAUUGGACAUUGUUUUUUUAUAAUCCAGACUGGACCUUUGGCCCAUUUACAAAGCAAAGCCCAACCCAGUUUAUUACAAAACCCUAGAUAACGAAGACCUCUUUUCACAACCGCAUAUACCUCGGUCUUACUAUUUUAUUCUCUCUCAGCUCCUUUUGUAUAUAAAGGAGAAGUCUGAGAUUCCACCUCCAUUUUCUUUCGCCUGCCGCCUCGCUUGCUGCUUGUCACCUGGUUCGCUCUCUCUCUCUCUCUCUCUCUCUCUCUCUCUCUCUACUAUAUUUAGAUCUGAAGCUUCUAAGCUGAAGCUUGCUUUGAAGUAAUUAGCUUGCUUGCUUAUUUCAAUUAAAUGAUUCUCGUACCUGUUUUACGAUUUUUCUGGCUUAAGAUCUGUAAUUAGACGGUCAAAGUAGUAUAAUCUUUUGUACUAUAUGAUUUGAAAUGGAUUAGAUUGAAUUUUCUUUUGCUUAGUUGCUGCUCAUAUAAUUUAGCCGACUUUUUUAUUCAUUCUUUUUUAGCUUUUUUUUUCAAAUAACCCAUAUCAAAUUUAAACGAAGAUCGUAUAGAUAUGGAUGCAUACACACAUACCAGAUUUAAACAAGUAUCUUAUAUAUUUACUUGCAUAAACACAUAUGUAUGUAUCAAAAUACCUGCAAAAUUACUUUCUUACUAUGCUUUUGGAUUUCCUUUAAUUGGUGGGGAAUUUUGUAACUGUUAUGGCUCUUGUUACUUUGUUCUUGUUCAUUUAUCUAAUUAUGAUGGUUUUACUAUUUUUGUGGACAGAUACUAAUUAUAUUUUUGGAGGUGACAUUUGAAGACUAGUCAAGAUGGUAAGAUACUUGUUUCAUCAGUUCAGUGGGUUGCUGGGAAACUACAUUAUUUCCUUAAUUUUAAUUGAGUUAUAUUUUUCAUAUGUACAGGUGAAGUUCACAGCUGAGGAGCUCCGUAGGAUUAUGGACUACAAACACAACAUUCGUAACAUGUCUGUUAUUGCGCAUGUUGAUCACGGUAUAUAUAAUGUUACUUAUUUGGCUUACCAAAUAUCAAUCUGAAAUGAUGUUUUGUUUACAAGUAUAGAGCAUUUAUACUGGCUUUAAAUGAUUGUAUCUGUUCCCAAGCUUGAAUAUCAUAAUUAUCAAUUAUGGUUUCAAGGCGCAGCUAAAGGAGUGGCUGAAUUUUUAUGUAUAAGUAGGAUAUUAAUGCAAUUGUUAACUUCGUAAAAACAAAAAUUUACUGAAGCCCACUGAGGCUUGGACCAUAUUUGAUUUAUUUGCUUCUUGUUCUGUUGUAUCUGUGGUUGCAUGAUCAAGUAAUAAUGUUAAAAUUUUCCUCCUCUCAGGGAAGUCAACCCUUACCGACUCCCUUGUUGCUGCUGCUGGUAUCAUUGCACAAGAAGUUGCUGGUGAUGUCCGCAUGACAGAUACCCGUGCAGAUGAGGCAGAGCGUGGUAUCACAAUCAAAUCUACUGGUAUCUCUCUCUACUAUGAGAUGACUGAUGAAGCUUUGAAGAGCUACAAGGGGGAGAGAAACGGAAAUGAGUACCUCAUCAAUCUCAUUGAUUCCCCUGGGCACGUUGACUUUUCAUCUGAAGUCACAGCUGCCCUUCGCAUUACUGAUGGUGCACUUGUGGUGGUUGAUUGCAUUGAGGGUGUUUGUGUCCAAACAGAGACUGUGCUUCGUCAAGCCUUGGGAGAAAGGAUCAGGCCUGUUUUGACUGUUAACAAGAUGGACAGGUGCUUCCUUGAGCUCCAGGUCGAUGGAGAGGAGGCUUACCAAACAUUCCAGAGGGUUAUUGAGAAUGCUAAUGUUAUUAUGGCUACAUACGAAGACCCUCUUCUUGGUGAUGUCCAGGUCUAUCCAGAGAAAGGAACAGUUGCCUUUUCUGCUGGUUUGCACGGAUGGGCUUUUACUCUGACCAACUUUGCCAAGAUGUAUGCAUCCAAGUUUGGAGUUGAUGAGUCAAAGAUGAUGGAAAGGCUCUGGGGUGAGAACUACUUUGACCCAGCUACCAAGAAAUGGACCAGCAAGAACACUGGUUCUGCUACCUGCAAGCGUGGUUUCGUUCAGUUCUGUUAUGAACCCAUCAAGCAGAUUAUCAACACCUGCAUGAAUGAUCAGAAGGAGAAGUUGUGGCCCAUGUUGACAAAGCUUGGUGUGACGAUGAAGAGUGAUGAAAAGGAGCUGAUGGGGAAGGGGUUGAUGAAGCGUGUCAUGCAGACCUGGCUACCAGCCAGCAGUGCCCUAUUGGAAAUGAUGAUCUUUCACCUUCCCUCUCCUUCAACUGCCCAGAGAUACCGUGUUGAGAACUUGUACGAGGGUCCCCUUGAUGAUCAAUAUGCAAAUGCUAUCAGGAACUGCGAUCCUGAAGGGCCUCUUAUGCUCUAUGUAUCUAAGAUGAUUCCCGCAUCUGACAAGGGUCGAUUCUUUGCCUUUGGUCGUGUCUUUGCUGGUAAAGUCCAGACAGGUUUGAAGGUUAGAAUCAUGGGUCCAAAUUAUGUUCCUGGAGAGAAGAAGGAUUUGUAUGUUAAGAACGUGCAGAGGACUGUUAUUUGGAUGGGAAAGAAACAAGAAACUGUUGAGGAUGUUCCUUGUGGUAACACUGUUGCCUUGGUCGGUCUUGAUCAGUUUAUCACCAAGAAUGCUACGUUGACAAAUGAGAAGGAAGCGGAUGCUCACCCCAUUCGUGCUAUGAAGUUCUCUGUUUCACCUGUUGUGCGUGUUGCUGUUCAAUGCAAGGUGGCUUCUGACCUUCCCAAACUGGUUGAAGGUCUCAAACGUCUGGCCAAGUCUGAUCCUAUGGUUGUCUGUUCCAUUGAGGAAUCCGGUGAGCACAUUAUUGCUGGUGCUGGUGAACUUCAUCUUGAGAUUUGUUUGAAGGAUCUACAAGAUGAUUUCAUGGGUGGAGCUGAGAUUAUAAAAUCUGACCCCGUUGUGUCUUUCCGUGAGACUGUCCUGGAGAAGUCUAGUCGUACUGUGAUGAGCAAGUCACCCAACAAGCAUAACCGUCUGUAUAUGGAAGCUCGACCCUUGGAGGAAGGUCUUCCUGAGGCCAUUGAUGAUGGCCGUAUUGGCCCAAGAGAUGAUCCCAAAAUUCGUUCCAAGAUCUUGGCUGAAGAGUUUGGUUGGGACAAGGAUCUUGCUAAGAAAAUCUGGUGUUUUGGCCCUGAGACCACCGGUCCUAACAUGGUGGUGGAUAUGUGUAAGGGAGUUCAGUACCUGAAUGAAAUUAAGGACUCUGUUGUUGCUGGUUUCCAGUGGGCUUCAAAGGAAGGUGCAUUGGCAGAAGAAAACAUGAGGGGUAUUUGCUUUGAAGUCUGUGAUGUGGUUCUUCAUGCUGAUGCCAUCCACAGAGGAGGUGGUCAGGUCAUUCCCACUGCUAGGAGGGUCAUCUAUGCUUCCCAGCUCACUGCCAAGCCAAGGCUCCUUGAACCUGUAUAUCUUGUUGAAAUCCAAGCUCCAGAGCAGGCUCUUGGUGGUAUCUACAGUGUUCUUAAUCAGAAACGUGGGCACGUGUUUGAGGAAAUGCAGAGGCCUGGUACACCACUCUACAAUAUCAAGGCAUACCUCCCCGUCAUUGAAUCUUUUGGGUUCUCUGGUCAACUGAGGGCUUCGACUUCAGGGCAGGCCUUCCCACAAUGUGUCUUUGAUCAUUGGGAGAUGAUGUCGUCUGAUCCAUUGGAAGCUGGAUCCCAGGCUUCACAGCUUGUUACAGAUAUCCGUAAGAGGAAGGGUUUGAAGGAGCAAAUGACCCCACUAUCCGAGUUUGAGGACAAACUCUGAGUAAUUUCUUUGAUUAUAUCGAACAAUUGGAUGACUGAGUCACUUUGAGACAGUAGUUCCAUUGCACUGCCUAUUUUUGGUUUUCAGUUUUUUGUUUUCGUUUAAUGUUUGUACCAACCCUGUUGUUGUAGUCAGCAUCCUGUGCCAGUAGUAACGUUUUGUGCGUGCUCAGAAGAUUAUGUAAUGUUAUGUUCUUACUUUGUUGCUUAUGGAACCAUUUCUGCCAUUGCUGGUACAUGCUAUUUUUGAAUUUACUAUACACCCCUUUUUGUGGUUUGUUUCGUGGAUUGGGUAGCUUGUUCUUGUAUAACUUGACUGUUCUGUGUGUUUGCUACAGCUUCAUAUCUCAAUAAUAGAUAGAGGAAAGCAGGCUGAUUCCUACUUUUGAACCUAAUUCUUCUGUUAUGAUAUAGGGAUAAACAUUGCCGAGUGGCCGGACAGGGUGGCAUACUUAAGACCAGUCUUGCUGUAGGAGUUGGCUUGAUUUGCUUUUUCAAUUUUCUCUCGGGAUUCUUGUGUUGUGUAGCAGCAUCAAGUAAAAUUUGAUUGCUUUGUGAUUUUGGAGCACCACUGGAACUUUUAGAUAGUAAAUAACUGUAUUGGCCUUGUAUUUGCAAGUUCCGGAGCAUUUGGCCUUUGAUUUCGCUUAAAGUGGCAUUGCAUUUUCCGUGCGUAACUGGAACUUUUUGGAUGUUGACCAAAGAAGAAAUGGUACCGAAUGGUGGAAGCAUUUGAUGCAUACUGUAUGAAUAUGGUUCGCCUUAUAUGCUCCAAAGCUGGAAGUAGUGUAGAAGGAGAAAAUGGGAGUGAAAAUCGCCAUCCUUUUUAUUACAUGUUAUGUGAUGGAGUCAUGUUCUGGAGAAGAACUUGUAUAUCGCAGGAAUAGGUUUUAAGAUGUAUGGAAUGUGUGGCCAGAACCCAAUACAAUUUUUUUGUUUCGUAAAUUACUCCUACAUAUUUCAACCAAACUUACCCCAUAUGUCAAAAUUAAAAGCAGGCGCUACACGUGGAGGGAGAGUGUGGUCGCAAAUAUGAUAAUUUAGAACUUGAAUGACCCAAAUCAGCUAAAGCAAAGAAUUAUCAAAAUUAGUUUCUCGAAAAAUAUAUCGAAAUUGCAUAUAAAUUGUAUAUUUGAGAAAUAUCAAAGAAACAAACAACACUCAUACUUGUUGCAAAACUUAUUCACAUAGGGAACACCAAAGUUUGGGGUUGGGUUUCCAAAGAACAAUCUUGGGUGAUCAAACAAAAUUCCUCAAUCUAGGUUUUUUAUUUUUUAAAUUUAUUUAUUUAUAUUUUAUUUUAUAGGCUUAAAUUUUUAUAGGAAAAAAAGAAGAAGGCAGAAGUAGAGAAUGGUGGGCCAUGAGAAACUAGAAAAUGGCACAGCGGAGCCCAACCCAUGAAACGAAAACCCUAACCUUAUAUAACACUCACACAUUCCCUUCGGAACCCACAAAUUUUCUCUCAGUCUCGUUCUCUUUUAUAGGCUGCGGAGAAUUCCUCUCUCUCUACCUCGAUUCUUCUUGAGGUUCGUUCAUAUAUCCUCUUUGUUUUAUUCAAUUCAGUGCCUGCCUUUAAUUUUAUAUCUUAUAUUAUUCUUCUGUUUUCUGGUUUCUGUCGCCAUGCUUUUUAUUUCUUCUGAAAAUGGUUGAUCUGCAUGGAUUUUAUUAUUAUUUUAUCUUUUUGUUGAAAAUUCUCGUUAUAUAUGCAUGCUUUUGAUGUUAGAUUGUUUACAUAUUUGUAUUAGAUCCUUGUUCCUUGUGUUGAUCACUGUAAGGCGCCGUUUGUUUCGUCGGAAAAUUGUUACGUGAAAUUUUUUUCUUGGUGUAAAGAUUUUCUGGCGUUUUCUUUGGACGGUUGGAGUUUUCUACGUGAUGUAUUAGAAUAUCGUUGUUUUUCUGAGUAGAUUUGUUGUAUAAUCUAUAUCCUCGUUCGUUUUUCUGUGUUUUUUUUUUGCUGCAAAAUAGUUACACCUACAAAUUUUUCGAUUUGGUAAAUUUUUCUGAUGUUUCCUUGCUACUGUGAAAAAUCAUUACGUGACCAUAUGAGAUUUUCCUCUGUGUUUAUGAAUAAAUGUUAUCUUUUCCAUUAUAUUUUUCCCGGCAAAUAUUUUUCUAAAUGCUAUGAAAUAAUUUUAACACAAUUCGAAGAGAGAAAAUUUCUAUCUACUGUAAUUUGAAUGUGGCUAAUUGCUUGUUUUUCCCAUUGGUAUAUUUUUUAUAUUGCUUGUUUUUCCCUUUUGAAUACCUUCACACAUCCAAACAUGCGAGCCCAUGCAGAGAAGGGAAUACCAUGUGUGAUUAUUUUUUCUGAUUGAAAUCUUUUAUCUUGAUUGUUAAUAAAAUUAUUAUAUUUGAUACAGUAAUAGUUAUCAAAGUAGAGGGUAUUCAUAGAUAUUUACUUGAAUUUCUUGCUUGAAUGUUCAAUUGAACCCUCGGUUCAUUAUCUUUAUGGUUUUAAUUUUCAGGUGGUUCACCUCCGUAUAAUUACAAAUUGGUGGUUUCUCUUAAAUACUUGUCAAGAUGGUAAGUGUAAUCUAUCAAUUUAAGCUUACUGGUUGUUGGGCUGCUCUAUUAAUUUCGUAAUUCUUAAUGGAGAGAUAUUAUUGAUAUGUGCAGGUGAAGUUUACAGCAGAGGAACUCCGUAGGAUUAUGGACUACAAGCAUAACAUUCGCAAUAUGUCCGUUAUUGCACAUGUUGAUCAUGGUAUCGAUAACUUUUUUCACUUGAUAAUUCUUAUAUUUGUAGCAUUAUUUUCACUCACCUGCUCAUAAUGGAGUCGUUAAUAGUGUUCUGUUUGAGUUAAUUUGAGCUGCUUUCUUGUAUCUGGUUGAUUAUGCCCUGCUCAAAUGUAUAAUUGUCCUUUUGCUUUCAAAUUUGCAUUACAUUCUUGUUCAUGUUUCAAUGUCCUGUGUGUUGUUCAUAGCUAUAAUGGUACUGAGUUUUAAUAUGCAGGGAAGUCAACCCUUACCGACUCCCUUGUUGCUGCUGCUGGUAUCAUUGCACAAGAAGUUGCUGGUGAUGUCCGGAUGACAGAUACCCGUGCAGAUGAGGCAGAGCGUGGUAUCACAAUCAAAUCUACUGGUAUCUCUCUCUACUAUGAGAUGACUGAUGAAGCUUUGAAGAGCUACAAGGGGGAGAGAAACGGAAAUGAGUACCUCAUCAAUCUCAUUGAUUCCCCUGGGCACGUUGACUUUUCAUCUGAAGUCACAGCUGCCCUUCGCAUUACUGAUGGUGCACUUGUGGUGGUUGAUUGCAUUGAGGGUGUUUGUGUCCAAACAGAGACUGUGCUUCGUCAAGCCUUGGGAGAAAGGAUCAGGCCUGUUUUGACUGUUAACAAGAUGGACAGGUGCUUCCUUGAGCUCCAGGUCGAUGGAGAGGAGGCUUACCAAGCAUUCCAAAGGGUUAUUGAGAAUGCUAAUGUCAUUAUGGCUACAUACGAAGACCCCCUUCUUGGUGAUGUCCAGGUCUAUCCAGAGAAAGGAACAGUUGCCUUUUCAGCUGGUUUGCAUGGUUGGGCUUUUACUCUGACCAACUUUGCCAAGAUGUAUGCAUCCAAGUUUGGAGUUGAUGAAUCAAAGAUGAUGGAAAGGCUCUGGGGUGAGAACUACUUUGACCCAGCUACCAAGAAAUGGACCAGCAAAAACACUGGUUCUGCUACCUGCAAGCGUGGUUUCGUUCAGUUCUGUUAUGAACCCAUCAAGCAGAUUAUCAACAUCUGCAUGAAUGAUCAGAAGGAGAAGUUGUGGCCCAUGUUGACAAAGCUUGGUGUGACGAUGAAGAGUGAUGAAAAGGAGCUGAUGGGGAAGGCGUUGAUGAAGCGUGUCAUGCAGACCUGGCUACCAGCCAGCAGUGCCCUUUUGGAAAUGAUGAUCUUUCACCUUCCCUCUCCUUCAACUGCCCAGAGAUACCGUGUUGAGAACUUGUACGAGGGUCCCCUUGAUGAUCAAUAUGCAAAUGCUAUCAGGAACUGCGAUCCUGAAGGGCCUCUUAUGCUCUAUGUAUCUAAGAUGAUUCCCGCAUCUGACAAGGGUCGAUUCUUUGCCUUUGGUCGUGUCUUUGCUGGUAAAGUCCAGACAGGUUUGAAGGUUAGAAUCAUGGGUCCAAAUUAUGUUCCUGGAGAGAAGAAGGAUUUGUAUGUUAAGAACGUGCAGAGGACUGUUAUUUGGAUGGGAAAGAAACAAGAAACUGUUGAGGAUGUUCCUUGUGGUAACACUGUUGCCUUGGUCGGUCUUGAUCAGUUUAUCACCAAGAAUGCUACGUUGACAAAUGAGAAGGAAGCGGAUGCUCACCCCAUUCGUGCUAUGAAGUUCUCUGUUUCACCUGUUGUGCGUGUUGCUGUUCAAUGCAAGGUGGCUUCUGACCUUCCCAAACUGGUUGAAGGUCUCAAACGUCUGGCCAAGUCUGAUCCUAUGGUUGUCUGUUCCAUUGAGGAAUCCGGUGAGCAUAUUAUUGCUGGUGCUGGUGAACUUCAUCUUGAGAUUUGUUUGAAGGAUCUACAAGAUGAUUUCAUGGGUGGAGCUGAGAUUAUAAAAUCUGACCCCGUUGUGUCUUUCCGUGAGACUGUCCUGGAGAAGUCUAGUCGUACUGUGAUGAGCAAGUCACCCAACAAGCAUAACCGUCUGUAUAUGGAAGCUCGACCCUUGGAGGAAGGUCUUCCUGAGGCCAUUGAUGAUGGCCGUAUUGGCCCAAGAGAUGAUCCCAANNNNNNNNNNNNNNNNNNNNNNNNNNNNNNNNNNNNNNNNNNNNNNNNNNNNNNNNNNNNNNNNNNNNNNNNNNNNNNNNNNNNNNNNNNNNNNNNNNNNGCAGUAUGUAAAUUUUUUGUCUGGGGGGGGGGGGGGGGGCGGCGGUUGGGGGAGGGGAGUGGAGCUCGGUCAUUUGGCACAUUUCUUGAUCAUUAAUGUGUCUUACUGGACUGCAGGGACGUGGAUUUGACAGAGAAAUUAGACUACUCAUCUGCAGUGGCAAUACUUGGGUACUCGCUCAUUCUGUCCAUACUAAGAAGUUUUGAUGUGAAGGAUGAUGCUGUCAGAGUGNNNNNNNNNNNNNNNNNNNNNNNNNNNNNNNNNNNNNNNNNNNNNNNNNNNNNNNNNNNNNNNNNNNNNNNNNNNNNNNNNNNNNNNNNNNNNNNNNNNNUUUUUUCUUUUUCGUUAACAUAUAUAGUUGGAGAGAGAGAGAGAGCAGUGACCUAUAUAUAGUUUAUUUACUUGAAUAGCAGUGACCGUGGAUCACAUAGGUGCUACGCUACCUGUUACUCCAAGAAUGUAAGCUAGUAGGAAGUGACAAGUGCUGGAUGAUAUCUGUUUCUCAACAUUCAAACUGACCAUGCCCGUGAAUUAAUUUUUUAUAUUAGAUGGAAAGUCUUUAUAUUGGACAUGAAAUAUCUUGCUUUGAUUUCACUAUAGAUCACUGAUUAUCCUAGAAAGUUGAAGUGUUAGGAAAUGCAUAAUUUCCUUUAUUUGGACAACUGAUGGGUUGUCUUCUCUCUUUCUGUGACAUAAUUUCCUAGUUUUCAUGAUAACAAUCUGACUUAAUUAAUCAACACAUUGCAGGGUGGAACAUGCAAGUUUGUGUUGUCAUGGCAGUAGUACAACUUCUUGUUUGGGCGAUUUGGGCUGGUGUCACUCGCCAUCCAUCACGUUGGAAGCUGUGGCUGGUAGUAGUGGCAGGUGGCCUUGCAAUGCUCCUAGAAAUUUAUGAUUUCCCUCCAUAUCAAGGGUUUGUGGAUGCUCAUGCGGCCUGGCACGCCACCACUAUUCCCCUAACUUACGUUUGGUGGAGUUUCAUCAGAGAUGAUGCCGAGUUCCUAACCUCGAACCAAAUGAAGAGGAUGAAAACCUCUAACCUUGCAAAGAAGGCAAAAUAGUUGUUUCUAUAUGGUAUGACCCUGUGAUGCUUGAGCACGUAGCCCUUGUCUCCAUUAGCUACUGGAAAUUGCAGUUUCCCCCCUUUUUCUUCAGUCUAUCUGUAUUGCAAAUUGUGACAGUUGCGUUAGGGUACUGAUGCACAAAAAAGACCAUCAGAAGACCUUUAUUUAUUUAUUUAUAUUUUAUUUAUCUCAUCUUUUAGCAAUACUUCACCUAUUCACAAUAAAUGGUCACUCCAUCUAUCGCCAGCAACACAACCAGAUUAAGAAAUGAACAUUGAAACCUUAACCAGCAACAUAGCACAUAAGCUAAAGUGGGAAAAAUGCAUUCAGACCCACACACACACACAAAAAAAAAAAAAAAAAAAAAAACCAAGAAAUCUUGAAAUUGUGAAAAAACAAAACAAUAAAUACCAAAGAGAGAAAAAAUUCUAAUUUCUCACUCUUCCAUUGAAGACAAAUUACUUCAUAUUUAAAAUUUAGUGGGUUUUGGGUUAAGGUUGGCAUUCAUAAUUCUUUUCAUUUUUCUUGGAUUGCUUGAAGUUGUUUGGGUGCUCUGAUCUUAUUUGCCUGGAGUUCGAUCAUAUCUUAUCUCGACCUAUUUUCAUGGUUAAUAUCUUUAUAUUUAACACCAAACAACAAAUAUAAAAAGAGUUUUAGUACAAAAACAAGACAGUCUCGUAAAUUGUAGAAGGAAAAUUAGAGAGAGAAAAAGAAUUAGGGAAGGAACAGAUGGACGAUCACUCAAAUUUUAGGGAAAACUUGCAGAGAAGGGAAAAGAAGAAGGAAAAAGAACACUUAGACAUGUUAGAGACGUUAGGUUGGAGUAAUUGGAGUUAGUCAACUUAUGGUGAUUUAUUUUUAUUUUUUAAUUAAGUGUAAAUUGGGUUUUUUAUUUUGUGGAUGAUGUGUCCGGCUUACAUCCCUUAGAUUAAAUUUUAAUGAGGUAUCAUGUGGAGAACGAAAGUAAAGUAGAUCAUAACAGAGAAAAUCAUAGCAGAGGAUUCGGAUCCUUAUAACAUAUGUAUUAGGUUUAAAUGCACCAUCGUAUUAUAAUUUGAAUGAACUUUUAACAUUAUGUAAAUCUGUUGCGCAAUGUUACUAUUACACCUAAAAAUUACUCGUUGAUAACGUUUGAAUGUGAACUUUCCCCUUUUUUAGAGUUUUUGCUGUGUUUACCUCCAUUGAAAAUAGAUUAAAUCAAUCAUUUAAGUUGAGUUUAUUUUAUUAACUUUGUGUUGGCCUUGACAAGUUGAAAAUUUCAAGAUUAUUUUCAAUCUCAAGACGAGUUUCAUUGGACAUUGUUUUUUUAUAAUCCAGACUGGACCUUUGGCCCAUUUACAAAGCAAAGCCCAACCCAGNNNNNNNNNNNNNNNNNNNNNNNNNNNNNNNNNNNNNNNNNNNNNNNNNNNNNNNNNNNNNNNNNNNNNNNNNNNNNNNNNNNNNNNNNNNNNNNNNNNNCAACCGCAUAUACCUCGGUCUUACUAUUUUAUUCUCUCUCAGCUCCUUUUGUAUAUAAAGGAGAAGUCUGAGAUUCCACCUCCAUUUUCUUUCGCCUGCCGCCUCGCUUGCUGCUUGUCACCUGGUUCGCUCUCUCUCUCUCUCUCUCUCUCUCUCUCUCUCUCUACUAUAUUUAGAUCUGAAGCUUCUAAGCUGAAGCUUGCUUUGAAGUAAUUAGCUUGCUUGCUUAUUUCAAUUAAAUGAUUCUCGUACCUGUUUUACGAUUUUUCUGGCUUAAGAUCUGUAAUUAGACGGUCAAAGUAGUAUAAUCUUUUGUACUAUAUGAUUUGAAAUGGAUUAGAUUGAAUUUUCUUUUGCUUAGUUGCUGCUCAUAUAAUUUAGCCGACUUUUUUAUUCAUUCUUUUUUAGCUUUUUUUUUCAAAUAACCCAUAUCAAAUUUAAACGAAGAUCGUAUAGAUAUGGAUGCAUACACACAUACCAGAUUUAAACAAGUAUCUUAUAUAUUUACUUGCAUAAACACAUAUGUAUGUAUCAAAAUACCUGCAAAAUUACUUUCUUACUAUGCUUUUGGAUUUCCUUUAAUUGGUGGGGAAUUUUGUAACUGUUAUGGCUCUUGUUACUUUGUUCUUGUUCAUUUAUCUAAUUAUGAUGGUUUUACUAUUUUUGUGGACAGAUACUAAUUAUAUUUUUGGAGGUGACAUUUGAAGACUAGUCAAGAUGGUAAGAUACUUGUUUCAUCAGUUCAGUGGGUUGCUGGGAAACUACAUUAUUUCCUUAAUUUUAAUUGAGUUAUAUUUUUCAUAUGUACAGGUGAAGUUCACAGCUGAGGAGCUCCGUAGGAUUAUGGACUACAAACACAACAUUCGUAACAUGUCUGUUAUUGCGCAUGUUGAUCACGGUAUAUAUAAUGUUACUUAUUUGGCUUACCAAAUAUCAAUCUGAAAUGAUGUUUUGUUUACAAGUAUAGAGCAUUUAUACUGGCUUUAAAUGAUUGUAUCUGUUCCCAAGCUUGAAUAUCAUAAUUAUCAAUUAUGGUUUCAAGGCGCAGCUAAAGGAGUGGCUGAAUUUUUAUGUAUAAGUAGGAUAUUAAUGCAAUUGNNNNNNNNNNNNNNNNNNNNNNNNNNNNNNNNNNNNNNNNNNNNNNNNNNNNNNNNNNNNNNNNNNNNNNNNNNNNNNNNNNNNNNNNNNNNNNNNNNNNNNNNNNNNNNNUAAAAUUUUCCUCCUCUCAGGGAAGUCAACCCUUACCGACUCCCUUGUUGCUGCUGCUGGUAUCAUUGCACAAGAAGUUGCUGGUGAUGUCCGGAUGACAGAUACCCGUGCAGAUGAGGCAGAGCGUGGUAUCACAAUCAAAUCUACUGGUAUCUCUCUCUACUAUGAGAUGACUGAUGAAGCUUUGAAGAGCUACAAGGGGGAGAGAAACGGAAAUGAGUACCUCAUCAAUCUCAUUGAUUCCCCUGGGCACGUUGACUUUUCAUCUGAAGUCACAGCUGCCCUUCGCAUUACUGAUGGUGCACUUGUGGUGGUUGAUUGCAUUGAGGGUGUUUGUGUCCAAACAGAGACUGUGCUUCGUCAAGCCUUGGGAGAAAGGAUCAGGCCUGUUUUGACUGUUAACAAGAUGGACAGGUGCUUCCUUGAGCUCCAGGUCGAUGGAGAGGAGGCUUACCAAGCAUUCCAAAGGGUUAUUGAGAAUGCUAAUGUCAUUAUGGCUACAUACGAAGACCCC